RNAcentral lists this long non-coding RNA (55538 nucleotides) under Setaria viridis. RNAcentral's name for it is "long non-coding RNA (SVIR_LNC003611)". The record is from RNAcentral. Lineage: Eukaryota; Viridiplantae; Streptophyta; Magnoliopsida; Poales; Poaceae.
UUUUUUUUUCAGUCUACCCUGUUGCUGCCUGAACAACGAUAUGUGCUUAGCUCAUUUUCAGGGUUCUUUAUGCUUGGACUCCAGAAUUCUGUUUUUGCAAUCUGAUCUCUUGAAUGGGGAAGGUUCAGUUUCAUCAAGAGAAAGAAAAUGGAGUUCUUUGGGAUGUACUACUUUGUACCCAUAUUAGAGGUAAUACGAACAGCUAAUCGAUCCAAUUCUGGUAUUUUCUAUCAAUCAAUCUGACGAAUUCAUUUUUCUUUGGAUACAUAUUUUCAUGCCAUUCGUCAAAACUUUGUCUGUGAUGCAUUAUGAAACUGCACUGCCCUGGUUUGCAGUACAUGCAUGCUAGGGACACGGUCACAUGGAGGUAUGGAAAAUUGCUAAUGACUAUCUGUUGAUGCCAACACCACUAUCUGCGGGUCUCAUCGUGGGGUGGGACCAACGCUACUUGUUGAUGCCAUGACUGUCUGUUCCAAAUAAAUGGGGGCAUGCUGUCUCGGAUGAUCGGUUCCUUGAUCUGCAGUAUGCAAAUCAACACUUGUUGCACUGAUAUUUGCAGUAGUACUUUGGACUGAUGAGCUACAGUAAUCAGUCAAUGCAUGAGAUACCUCCAGCUCCAAACACUCUUUCAGCUCCAACACAAGAUCAGUCAUUGUCGGUCUUUUCCGCGAUGGCUCCUCCUUGCACUGCAAUGCCAACUCGGCAACCUUCCAAACAGAGUUGACAUUGUACAUCCCUCCCAUCCUUGGAUCAGCAAUGCUUGCGAUGUCACCCUCCGAGAGUUUCUGGCGCACCCACUGUGCAAUGUGGACGCUCUCGGUGUCGCUUAUGGCGACAGCCGGUGAUUGGCCUGUGAUAAGCUCCAAUAGCACAACUCCAAAGCUAUAUACGUCGCUCUUCUCACUGAGCUGGUGUGUAUUAUAGUAUUCAGGGUCAAGAUACCCCAGGGUACCUACCGGCUUAGUGGUAACAUGGGUCCUGAACUGAUCGGCGAACACCUUCAUGAGCCCAAAGUCAGCUAUCUUCGCCUCAAGAUCAGCAGACAGCAGAAUAUUCCCUGUUUUCACGUCCCUAUGUAUCAGUGGCGGGUGGCAUGAUUUAUGUAGAUAUUCCAAUCCUGCAACCGCAUCAUGGAGCCAAGAAAUUAGUUGGUGUGAAACAUUCUAGUGACUAGCGAGUGUAGUUUUACUCAAAAUUAAUCUGUAUAAGCAAAAAGUAAACCAUGGUACAGGAUGCUGUAACUGUAAUACUAUAAUACAGUUUGGGCACGAACCAUGGGCAGAGUCGAGAGCAAUCUUGAGACGCUGAGGCCAAGUGAGGGGUGUAACAGUAGUGGACUCCCCUGUGAUAUAUUGAUGAUAACAAGGUAAGAGCAGAAGAACAGAAAGAGAGAAAGAAAUGUCACGUGGUUAGUUUUUUGAAAAUUGGCCUUUAAGCUCAGUAAUAAGAAAAUGAAUAUAUCCAAUUAACCACACACACAUGAAGGUGAGUUUAGUCUUUUUUCCUUUAUGAGAAGAGGAAGAGGGCCUUACCUCUUAGACGGUCCUCUAGGUUUCCUCCACGCAUGUAUUCAUAUACAAGGGCCAAAUGUUUCUUGUCCUUGCAAUAUCCAAUCAAGGAAACUAGGUUUUUGUGAUGAACUCUACCCAAGUGUUGAGCCUGCAAUAUGUAAUAACUAAUAAGAUAUUUAAUUUGUUUCAAUCUCAAAUCCCCAUAAAGAUGAAAAGGAACUACUCAGCUUACCUCAGCUAAAAACUCUUUAUCCCCUUGGGAGGAUGUUUUUGAACGCAUUUUGACAGCUACUGGAUUUCCAUUCUCCAAGUAGCCCAGGAACACAUCACCAAAUCCUCCUCUCCCUAUUGCUUGUACGAAGUUAGCUGUUAUGAGCUUCAACUCCUUGUAGGAAAAUUGCCUAUUCUCGAAUAUAUUUGACUGGUCCCGAGGGCUACUGAGCCUUGAGUUGUUUGCCAUCCAUCUAUCUAUAAUCAAACCAGAUAUUGUAUGAUCAAGCUUAGCAAAUGCAGAUUACUUUAUUGGUUUCCUUGGUGAAAUGUUACCUCGUUUGUUUCUCAUAUUACGAAUGAUAAGAAAUGCUGCCAAAAAUAGUAGAGUUGCUAAUGCUAUUGGAACAACUGUUGCAAUGACAAUUGUUUUGUUGCUUUUCUUGUUCCCCGACUUGCAUGUGGAAGCACCAUUGUUGCAAAGAUUUGGGUUGUUUUCAGCCCUAUCAUUAGAGCAAAAUGAUCUGAAUUAACUAAAUUUUAAAGAAAAAACAUGGAACUGCACUUUUUUUAUUCAAGUGGUAGGAGUUAUUAAAUUAUUGUCCACUGAUUAACAAUUGUUUUUGCAUUACAGUUCUUCUCAAAAGAACUUUGGGUACGAUGAUCUCUUGAACCCUAAGGUAGCUUACAUGAUGCAAACCUGAACACAAGAGAUCUGUUUUGGCUCUUUUCUAGUACAGCAGCAGGAACCCAUCCACUGAGUUUGUUGCUUGACAGAUCACUGCAGAAACACAUGUUUGAUAUAUCAAUGCAAUUUUUUUUAGCAUAAAGUGAUAUCAGCUAAGCAGAAAUACUUACAGGAAUGUGAGGGAUGGCAUUUGCGCUAGGAAAUCAGGAAUUGAACCAGAUAGGUUGUUGUUGGACAAGUCCCUGGAAUUGCAGUUCUCAUUAAAAUACUAAAGUUGACAUGGGGAACCGAUACAAAGAAGUUAUAUGUUUGUUGUUACUUUAAGUUUCUGUAGGUAAUAGGAUCACGGGCAGUGAAUGAUCUAGUUUGUUAAUAAAUGUUGUAAACUUGUAAUGAUUUUUUUUUGGAAUUUGGAUGCUUUUAAUGAACUUUAUUAUAAUUUGGAUGCUUUUAAACCUUGAUCUUGUAAUGAAGUUGGCCAAACAUUCUUCUUAGAAAGUACUGUCAUGUAAGCUGGUAAUCCCAGGGAGAUAAUUAUGCAUUCAGCAAAAGGAAGGGCCAAAACCUUUAAAAGCAAAAUUGUUGUCUGAAUGUUAGGGGUUUAAGCAAAAAGAAGGGUCAAAACCUGUAAGCUGGGAAGUGAGAACUUUAGGGGUGUUAUAACAUUCAUAAUGUAUAAUUUCAAAUAUUUGUGCGAUUGUGGUAUUUGGUUCUUACAGGUAUUUUAGGGAUUUCAGAUCACCAAAAGAAACAUGAACUUCACCAGCCAACCCGCUAGAUGAUAAGAGCCUGCACAUCCAAUAGUAAAUUAAUACCAGGGAACAGAAAACAGGCACUAUAUUUAGUAAUUUCAGAUCAAGCAUUCAAGUUAGUAUAGUAAUGCCUUUUGAAAUUCGUGGUAGAAUUCUUCAAAGGGUACUUACAGCUUUCGUAAAAUAAAAGGGGUACUUACAGUUCUGUUACUGAUGCAGGACCAGAUGAAGGAUAACUACAGUUCAGGCCAUCCCAAGCAAAUGAUUUUGGUGCACAAGGAUCACCCAUCCAAUUUUUCUUCAAUGCAUACGCUGUGCGAAUUGUCAUCAUGGCCUUGGCUGUUCAUAGGGUAAAAAACAGAAGGUAACUCUGAAGUCAUGCUGUGGAAUUGGGAUCAACUAUCAGGCAAACUUUACUUUGUAAAUUAUAACAAACACUAAAAUCUUUGACUAAAUAAGAGUAAUCUAAUACACUGGUCAAAGCAAGGAACCAUGCAUCCUAUUUGCUUGCAACCAAAAUUUAUCCAGCGCUAUGAAAGCAACAUAAUGCUGAUGGAUGAAACUGACUGACAGAACUUUGACAAGUCGAAAGUGUUUAGCAGAUACCGUCAGCAUCAUUUGUUGCAAGCUCAGUCAUUGGUUUUACUGAAUAUAUCUCAAAUGCAUUCAGGAUGGGUGGGAGAGUGGCGUCCGGCGUGCCAGCAAGUGAGACAGCAUGUUGGCUCGAUCCCUGCACCAUUGUUUUCACAACCUCUGCAGAGAGGUACUUUGGGGUGUAGCUUUGGCUGCCUUUCCAUGUAGCGUUGUCGACAAGGAUAUCAAACUUCCUUAGGGCAUUGCUUGGCAAUCUCUUUAAUUCCGCGAAGUAGAGGAACAGAAGGUAAGUUGCAUGGUCAUCAUUCAGGUCGGGAUCUGAGCUCCAUGUGAAGUUGAUCCAGGUUCCGUUCUCUGGAGUGGCACAGCUCUGCAGUAUCUUGUUUGGCUCGUCGAAGUUAAUGGUGUUUGUGAUGUCUACAGUGUCUGUGGUACUUAUGUUGGUCCAUGUAGGAUCUUUGUAUCUUUGCCAGGAACGGUCAUCCGGAUCAGCUGGGUACCUAUUGUUUAGAAAAUGAAUGGUGUGAGGCAAUCUUCAGAAAUUAACCAUGAAUGCGGAUUACAAAUAAAGCUUCUUUGCAAGAGAGUAAGUAGCACCAUAUUGUUUACAUCAGAUAUCAUCAGAUGGACUGGGAAACCCAAUGAUCAUACUCACCUGAUGAAACCUGUCCCGAAAUGAAAUCGGUUGAUACUGAAAUCGGCUAACGAUGAUGGCCGGGCAAGCCUGAGGAGAAGCAGCGACUGGUUGACCGUGGCCUCUGGGUACAUGGUCUCCCCGAGCGGCCUCAGCUCAAGCGCAUUGAUGAAUGGUGUACCCCACCCUGUAUUCACCAAGCACACCUGUACAUGCACAUGUCAAUUUUGGUGAAGUGAUUCAGAAACUGAGUUUUUUUCCUGAAUAUACAACUGGAAUCCCUUAACUUUUGCUGGUGUUCCUAAGUAAAAUAUUCUAACGCAAUAAUCAUAUAGGCAUGUACUUAUAUUUAUCCAGUUGUAAUAGACUUUAGUUCGCAAUUAUUCUAUAUACCUUUCCAUCCAUAUUUAUAGAUUUUUCUAGUACUUUACAUCGCAUAUCUAUAUGUGGUUGACAUGUGUUUAAUUGAACUUUUCAGCUAUGUGUUUAACUUGAAAAUUGGUAUUAUCAUCAAUUCUUUUAUAAUCUUAUAUGUGGUUUAAUGGUACACGCAUCAUGCAUGUAUACCUUAAGUUGAUAUCAUCUAUUUUAGCAAUGGUAGAAAUAGGUAUUUUAGAAUCAUAUUGGGGUGCAUUUUAGGAUUUUUUAAUGAUAAAUGUAGGUAAAUUCGAUGCAAAUUUAGGGGUUAGUUUUUAAUAAUGAUAGCCGUGGGUAAUUUAGAUGCAACUUUAGAGGGUUAUUUUAGAUUAUCUAUAUAAUGACAUAGGUGGGUAAUUUAGAUAAAGAUUAAGAGGUUCUUUUAGUUUUUUUCAUAAUAACAUAUGUGGGUAUUUAUAUAUAGAUUUAGAGGUUAUUUUAUAAUUUUUUUAGAAAUUUGAUAGAUCCAAUGGCUAUGAUGAGCGUAGGCUAGAUAAUUAUGAUUUUUAAGAGAAUUUCUAGGUUUCAUCUAUUUUUCUAGCGUGUCUCAUGGGAUUUAUCAGGGAGGCUCUAAUUAGUAAUAAUAGUAAGAUAGUUAAAAUCUUGUCAAGCAUAGGUUAUUGAUCGGUACUAGUUUUUUCACACUCGAGAGUUCUAUUUGCAUGGAAAGAUUUUCACUGCUUUGGGAAUGGGGUUGCAAGGAUAUAUCAAUUGACAAAAACUGAAUAAUAGUAUGAGAGGUUGCAUCUACAUUGCCCUAGCCUGUAAGAUGGAGAUAGCAGAUGUUUGGAUACCCACAUGCUACCUAGAGCCAGGAUCACUUGAUGCCAAAAGGUCCUCUCAGCCUAAAUUUUUUUUUGACGUUCCUGCACAGUCAGGCCCAUUGGAUGCACACUAAUAUAUUUAAAUAAAUAGCAUAUUAAUGAUGUUAUUAGUGUGUGAUUAGUCUAUAUUAUGUGAUGUUAAUAUUUAAAUAAAUAUUAAAAAUGAAAAAAAUGACACUUAUUUGUCUACUUUAUGUCAUGCAACAUAUUUUAGUGUAGUCAAUCAAACAACCUCUCUUCCCAAUCUGACAAAAUGAAUACAAGCAACCAACCAAACUAAGUUUUGCACCGGAGGUCGCCCUCUCCCCCCGCGUUGCCCCCGUGUGGGCGACACGGGCGGGCGGCCGCCACCGCCGCCUCCCUCCUCCCUUCGCCGCGCUGCUGUCUGAGCCGUCCGCUGAAAGCCCGAGCGGCCGCAAUGACCGCGGUGGUGGGACGGCACUCCCCCCUUCAGGUCCAGGCGGACGCGGAUGCCCGAUCAAUGGAGAGGACGGCUAUGGCGGCACCGGCGUGGGCGAGCGGAUCCGGCACUGGUGGGUGCGAAUCCGAUGGCCCCGAGGGUGGAUCCGUCAAAGACGGGGGGCGGCGGCCAGCAAUGGCCCGCUGACAAGGAGGAGGGUGACUGCAGCCGGGACGCCAAGAACGACGCCUCGCCGGCGGCGCUGGAGGGGAGUGGGCGGUGGAGCGAGAAGGGAGGGCGACGUGGGUGGCCGUGGGUGUUGUGGGGUUAUUCCUGAUGGGGCCCGGCGUGCUGGGCGGUGGUUCUGCCUCGCUGCCCGGUGGGGGGACCGACGGGCCCAAGUGGCGGCGGCUUGCAGCCAUCUAUCGAUGAGUGGCAGCUCGCUGCGGACGUCUUCCUCGCGCGCGUCGCCGAUGAGCUCGUCCUCCAGGCACACCCUGGCUGCUGGUGGACUCUCGGUGGGUGGCGGUCGCGUGCGGAUGAAGGACGGGCAGCCGGCGCGGGCAAUGAAGGUGCGCCAGCUGGGAGAGAAGCGCGGCGGCCGGGAGGAGUGUGGCUGGGAAGUGCGCGCGGCCAGGAGAAGCACGCGCCGCCGCUAGGAGAAGCGCGGCCGGGAGAGCGCGCGGUGGCGGGGAGGACUGCGGCGGCCGGGAGGAGCACGGCAAGCGGCCGUGCAGUGUUGGCAGGGAGGUGUAGGCGGUGGAGUGCACUGUGCAUGGGCAGCGAUGGAGGGCGGCGACAGAAACGGAGGUGGAGGUAUGGCGACCUGGCGAGUAGAGGCGCAACGGCGUCGUCACCUCGGCUGGGUUGUCGUAGCAAUGGUCCGGGAGUGCCGAACCAUGUACGUGUAGCGAGGGGUUGUAUUGCUCCGGGCAAAAGCCCUCACCGCCCUUCAUGCUGGUGGACAUGACGGCGGUGUCCUAGGACGUCGUCUUCCCCAUUGGGGGCGUCAGGUUGGAACUACGACCUUGUUGCGUGGGGUUCUCUAGGUGAAAACCCUGUCCAAAUUCUGGACGAGUGAUGGCGGCGCUAUUGGUAUCGUCCCCUCCUUGGAGGCGUCGUCUCUAGAGACCCAACUUAGUUUGUGGCAUUGCUGAACCAUUGUCAUGGGAGGUCAUAGCCGAGGGCGGCAACUCCGUCGUGUGGUGAGCUGAACGGGUGUUGCUGAGCUCAUGUGCAGGCGUUCGAAGUUAUGGUGACGGUCAGGGGUUGUUGCAUGGUUAUUGUUUGGCUGCUUGCAGCGGACUGCGACUGACGUUGCUUGGUAGCGAUCAGUACGGUGUGGGACUGCGUCGGAGGACGGCGCUUGCGGCAACGGCAGCGUGGGAUGACUAGGCUUGCAUCGGACCGCGGCGGGUUGCUCAGCUUACCUAGGCUAUCUGGUGCGAUACAUCAUCAGAAGAUGGCGCAAGCGACUUCUCUGGCUUGCUGACACGGUGGAGAAGGCUAUGUACGAGGGUGAAGCUACGAGGCGAGGUCAACACACUGCGGCGGCUUGGCUGAUCAAUGGAGAUCUCGGGGAGCGGAGCAAUAUCACUCAACACUCUGACAGCGAUAAAGAAACGGAUCCGUGACGUGGAGUACUGCGGUGGGCAUGGCAAGGCUCCCUCGCGUGGUGUAUCUUCGAGGCGGCGAGAGAGAGGCGGAGCCAUCCGUCGAGGCCCCCGCACGUUGUGUUAUCGUGGCGGUGAAUGCGAGGUAGCCCGCGAGAGGUCCGGAUUCGGUACUAUCACCCUGUCAAGUGGAGAAUGAUGUUACAGCGGCACUAUGGCGGAAGGUCUUGCAUGGCAGUGGCCUACUCGGUGCGGUACAGUCUGCUUCUGGGUUCAACAUCGAUGCUAGGUUACGCUGGAAGGUUUCGGCGACUUCUUGACUGUGUGUAUGGUGGUACGAGUUAUGGUAAGGCUUCGGUUCUGUCGCCGAUGUGUUGAGAGGAGUGGAGUUCGCUGACGGUUGAUGUCCCAAUCUAACCGACUGAUGUGUUGUACAGUUGAAUUGCGUGUGAGGACUGGCAUUUAAAAAAAACGCUAUUGUAUGCACUGAGGCUAAUUGAGUUAAGGCAGACCAGGCUAGAUAAUACGACAACUAACCAAACAGAACCUACAUGAUGAGACACCCGCGGCAGCAAGACUAACCUGCAAGAAAUCGACCGGCGGCACCGUCACCGCCUCGAUGACAUGCCUGGACUUGGGAGAGGUGAUAUUCACGGUGGUCCAACGGUUCACGCCGAUGUGGAUGUCAAAUACGGGGAGCGUUGCUUCCAGCCCGUCGUAGUUCCCGUAGUAGAAUCUUGCCCGGAUGAGGUACCGGCGGCCCGGCGAGACAGGCCCAAGCGUGUAGCAGCUCCGCCGCUUGCUGGUGCCGCCGCGGUCGGGGAAGUAGCGGACGGUCCGGUACAGAUCGGGCCAGUCCGGCUGGUAGUACGGCGGCCGGACGGCGGCGUUGAGCCCUGCAUCGGUGAAGCCGGUGUCGGGGACGUGGAGGAGGCCCCGGGUCUUCUUGUCGGAGUAGGUCCCGUCCGCGGCGAGGCCGCAGUCGAUGGUGAUGAACUCUGUCCAUGGAACGCGAUCAGUGCGUGGCUUCAGCGGCGAUGAAGGGGGAAGUUCAUGAAUGAAGAAGCUUAAAGUUACCAGGAGAAUUGGGCUGCCCAUGGACGACAGUGAUAAGCUCCGAUGAUGCCGCUAGCCAAACGAGGCCAAAUAGCUGCAUGGAUGGCGCCAUCUUUCCCUCCCUCCCUCCCUCUCUGUCUUUAUAUGUACGGGCUGGUACAAUAUGAUGAAUCGAUCGACAGCGGUGCAUAACUUCUUAAAAAGUACUCCUUGUGUUCCAAAUUACUAUUCAUUUUGAUUUUUCUAUGUAUAUAGUUUUCACUAUGUAUCUAGAUAUAAUAUAUAUCUAGGUGCAUAGCAAAAACUAUAUAUCUAGAAAAGUCAAAACGAAUUGUAAUUUGGGACGGAGGGAGUAUAUUUUGAGUUGAAUUCGGGGAGUAGGUAAUGACACGACGUGUCAACCUAGCGAGGAUCCAGAAUGCAAUUAACAAUGAAAGCAUAUCGACUUCCAACGUGCAGGACAGUAAUUAGAUUAAGUGACGGCAAUGGCUGAUUAAAAAGUCUCUGCGUCCAAGCUUCAGGUAUUUUCUCAGAUGGCUCAUGUAUGCAACAAUGGAGUCAACAAUGGAAACAUGCUACCUACUCCAUGAUAGCAACGCUCAGUUUUUGCUAUACUCUUUAUCAUACCUGGAAUUGACUAAUGUAUUACACGAACUGGCCUUUGCAAUAUCUCAUGCUAUGUCCAAAUACCAGAGCUGCAGAUAAUAUAAAACAUCUUGUAUAGAAAUAAAAAAUGGAUAUGAAUUGUUCAAAUUAAACAGUUUAGCGAUAUAAGCUGAAUUCAGGUACGGUCAAGCUGAAGUUUACAUGGGGAAAACUAUGGGGCUAAAAAAUGUGGUUAUAAAUUGGUUUUUUAUUUAGCCCAUUAGAUUUGUUGUGUCCAAGAGUGGACUUUUUAUUUAAAAAGGCAAGGAUUGGGAUGGAGGGAGUAUAUUCUGAGUUGAAUUCGGGGAGCAGGUAAUGACACGACGUGUCAACCUGGCGAGGAUCCAGAAUGCAAUUAACAAUGGAAGACCAUCGACUUCCAACGCACAGGACAGUAAUUAAAUUAAGUGACGGCAAUGGCUGAUUAAAAAGUCUCUGUGUCCAAGCUUCAGGUAUUUUCUGAGAUGGCUCAUGUAUGCAACAAUGGAGUCAACAAUGGAAACAUGCUACCUACUCCAUGAUAGCAACGCUUAGUUUUUGCUAUACUCUUUUAUCAUAACUAGAAUUGACUAGGGGCCUGGUUUGACCGGAAUGGCCUGGAAUGCAGCCCAAUCCGAACGGAUUGGAACGGCCUGGAACGAAUACGACCCAACACAGAAUUGUUGUUCGAUUGGCCUGCCUCGGAACCAAACCUGGGCCAGAACGAUUUCAACCCUUCCUUCGACGGCCUGGAAGCAAUCCUCACCUCAUCCCUCCCGGAUCGGUGCCUGGCCACGCGACGCGAGGAGAUGAGACGCUUCGCUGGUGGCGCACGAUGCGAUGAGGCGGCAGCGAGAGGUGGCGGCGCGAGGUGACGGUGUGGCACAUCUUCGACGGCCACCACUGCGACGGCAACUGCCGCCUUCUCGCCGGACGCGCAUUGCUCUUCCUCACUCCCCGGUUCACCUCCCCUGUUCCCUUCCGCUUCUCUCCUGGGGCCGGGCGUUCUUGGAGCUACAGCUUCUGGAGCUGCUGCUGCGGAAGUCACCGCUGGUGGUCGCUUAGGUGGCGGGUCCGCAAAGGGGAGGGGCAGCCGCGCCUGCUCCGUCCUUGGCUCCACCCUGCUCUUGCUGCUGCUCGCGCUCAGCUUCGCCACCACGCGGAAGGGCUCCACCUGGAAGACCCUGAGUGGUAAGCUCAAUUUGUGACGCUUCACCUCCUUUCGUGCAAGGAUCCGUAGUACUGUGUGCGUGUGUGAUCUGAUCUGGGCCGAUUUGAUGCUACGCUUUGCUUAAAGAUAUUUUUUUCUUGGAACUGCAAAUUUGUUUGUUCUACUGCUUGGGCUGGAUAUUCAGGAUGAGAACGAGCUGGAUGCGCAUUUCUUUCUUUCUUUCUUUUUUGGGUUUAGCUGAAGCUUCAUUUUCGCUUAUCAAUUUGCUGGAAUUGCUUAUCAAAUUUAACUUGCACAACAUGAUUACGAAGAAGUGAGGAUAAUAGACCUGUGUUUGUUCCUGUCAGAGAAGUGAGGAAGCAUAACUAAACUUGAUUUAGAAGAGUUUAGUCAUGACUAUGCUCAUGCCUCUUUCUAUGCGUCUGCUACAUAUAGUUAAUUGUAGGCAAACAAAAUUUUCAAUUCUAUUGGAAAUAAGUAGGAAUAAACUGACAACUAAUUUUUUAAUUCACCUCUAUCAAAGGAGGCACAAGCUUAGUCUUGCCUGCACUGUUCUAAAUCAAGUCCAUUUUCUUUGAGAUAUAUUUAAGGAGGUAGCUUGUCCAUUUCUGUUUUCAUGGAUCGAGAUUCUUUUCUGUUCCCCCAAUUAUGGCAAUGAACCAUAGCCCCCCCUUUUGUCUUAGCUAUGGUGAUAUGUUAAUACUAUAUGUUUAAUUUUCAGGACCUUCUGGAUGACGUUAGGAUUGCUCAAGAGAAGAAAGUUGAAGAAUUGAAGAGGUAGCAGGAGAUUCCAGCUCAGACUCUAUUUUAUCUUGAUCAAGACUGAAAGAUUGAAAGGAUAUUGCUAUCUUUUCUUGAUCAAGACUCUAUUUUUGUUUGCUACUUCUUCCUCAUUUGAGGCCUGAAACUGUCAAACAAGUGUUUUCAUUUCUAACCAAAACGAAUGGCUGUGAAAAGGACCAGGUUUGAUUCCUGGGCCGGAUCCAUUGGUGAUCAGGUUUUAGUGAACCACCUGGAUUCACUCGAUCCAGCCCAGGAAUGAAAACAGGCAUGUUUCCAAACCUAGCUUGUUGAACGAGGCCUAAUGUAUUACACGAACUGGCCUUUGCAAUAUCUCAUGCUAUGUCCAAAUACCAGAGCUGCAGAUAACAUAAAACAUCUUGUAUAGAAAUAAAAAAUGCAUAUGAAUUGUUCAAAUUAAACAGUUUAGCGAUAUAAGCUGAAUUCAGACCAGCUGAAGUUUACAUCGGGAAAACUAUGGGGCUAAAAAAUGUGGUUAUAAAUUGGUUUUUAUUUAGCCCAUUAGAUUUUCUGUGUCCAAGAGUGGACUUUUUAUUGAAAAAGGCAAGGAUUGUGGAGGGAUGUCUUGCCUAUCUUUUUUUUCCCAGACAUUUGCAAUAAAAUUGAUCAUGUAUGCAAUGAGAAUUGCCAACGGUGUAACAUCGGCAGAGGGAUCUAGCUAGUGACCCUCCUCGUGUGAGUUCGGAAUGGGGGUUGAGGAUCGGUAAUAAUCCCUAACUAAGGAUUUUUUUACCCAAGUAACUACCACACAGUCAAGGCGACAAAAGGCGGAAGACAAGGGGAAGGUGGAAGAAGGGGCGGAAGCACUCAAGGUGACAGCGUUACAUUUUCAUCCUUAGGAGGCUCCAUCAAGUGACGCAGGGGUGGUGCUGCUUCAGUAGAAGAAUGGGUGUUGACAGAGAAGAUGUGAAGAGGGUGCAGACACGGUGGAGUCUGCAAAAUCUGGGAAAUGGAAACACAAGCUGGUGUUUAGAUGUAGUCUUUUGUUAGGUGUUGAUUGAUGUCAGUGCCUGAAAAAGUUAAACUUUGUAGUCUAUCUGUGUUGCUUUGCGAUAUUAGUUUAAAUUUCGUCUGUGAGUUGAGAACUGUCAGUGUUUUAACCCGACAACCUAUCAGGAGAGUAACCGAGAUAGUAUUUUGGUUGGUGGGUGUCGCCAAAAUCAAGGAGUCGAUGGUGACGUGGGAACACGAUUUUCACAAGUUCGGGCCACUAGAUCGCGUAAUACCCUACAUCAUGUGUGUUGUAUGCUUGUAUUGAUUGAACUUGUUUUGAGGGGGUCCCUGCCCGCCCUUAUAUAUCGGGGCAGCAGGGUUUCAGGGUAGUCUUUGGUACAAGAGUACUAGUCGGAUAAGACUACAGAGUCCUACUCUAACUCGGCAGAGUAGUUUCCUUGUAUUCUGACUAAUCCUUCAGGAGUUCCAUGUAGUCUACAUUGCCCUGUAGCGUAGUCGUCAUAUCCUAAUACGUCUUUGAGUACGUCCCCUUGAGUGGGUCCGUACAGACCUUCUGGUGGGCCCGGGGAUGUAUGGUCGACAAGCCCCCGAGUACUUUGUAGUCAAAUGAAAGAGUUCCGAGUACUCAGUAGACGUUGCUCGACUAGUCUUCGAUGCUCGUUGAGUACUUCUGUUGUGGCUAGUCUUCGAGUACUCGAAUGUUGUCAUGCGGUUGGAAGGUACUCCUGCUCCAUUCUGACAUUGGUUUUGAGUAGUUUGUCUUCAAGUCUUUAUAUGGAAGUGCAAUGAAAAUCGCACUCUAUAUGGAGUAGCCCCCAAGCCUUAGGUUGAAUUGAAGAAUCAGGCUGAGGGUCAAACUGAAUUUGCUUCCUUAAUCCCUGAAGAAAAAGAAAAUUUUGUCCAACGGGCGAGAUGUAUGCAGCCCCCGAGCACUUGAUCGACUACAUCCAGGCGAUGAAGGGGUCAAUCAUGAUCAACGUGACCAUUGGACUUCAAUCUUGCGAUAAAUCUUAAGAGUAUCAGACCGUUGCAAGAUUACCGACUGCGUUCCCAGAAUCUCGGAGCUGUUUUAGAUCCGUUGCGCUGUUAUAAAAGAUAAGGCCGGUAACCUCCGUUGUUUACGCUUUUUGCCAUUCGCAUCUGACAUUCUCCAUCUUGAAAAAAACCCUAACGCCACCACGCCACCGCCACCAUCGGCUGAAUUUAGCGACUUUAAGCGCCAUAGUAGCCUUUUUUUCCUCCCCUUACAUGCCCCGUUGUGAUGCGUGUGAAGAAGAUGGGGAAGAAGACUGAUAAGUCCAAGGGAAAAGCCGUGGAGGGAUCGAUGAAGGAAUCCAAGAAAGGGAAAGAGCCACAGCUUCCUUCGCCCAAAUGUGGGCCUACCGAUCAAACUUUUUCGCCAAAUCAAGCUUCUGCUUGGAAGAUCUCCACCAUGAAGAAGGAAGCAAUCCAAGAUUUGGUGGAUGCAAAAUUGCUGCAGGAGGAGGCCAUCAUGAAUUGGAGGUGUGCCUAUGCCAAUGCCUGGAGAUUUGGGCUCAUUUUGUGGAGACAGGACUCGCUGUUCCUACAUCGGAGUUCUUUAGAGGUGCUGGCGGGCGGGGCGAGAAGCGGCGGCGGUGGAGGAAGUUGAAAUGAAUCGAAGAAUGUCUAAGUGUUGGAAUGAGAUGGGGAUAACUUGGAAUCUUUGUCGAGUGCCCACGAUCUGGCACUCGGCAAAGAGAAGUUUUAAUUUUCGCCCAAAAAAUUCGCGCCGGCCAGGUGCUUUGCCGAGUGCUAGAUCGCGGGCACUCGGCAAAGUCGUACUGUUUGCUGAGUGCCAGAUCUUGGGCACUCGGAAAGUUAAGUUACAAUUUUUUUGUUUGAACCACGCCCUAGUUAGUGGGCCCGUGCAUCUAUUUUGCCGAGUGCCCGGAGAAAACACUCGGCAAAACAUUAGCUUUGCCGAGUGUUUUCGCCAGACACUCGGCAAAAUUUACAUGAAAUCACGUAUUUUACUGAACUUUUUCUAAUAUACUUGGGCAAAAUCGUGUCAAAAUCACUCAACAAUGGUUAAAUUAUUUUUCUACUGAUAUUAUUCCAUUAUUUCAUGCAGUUAUAGCUCAAAUUGCAUUUAUAUCUACUAGAAAUCUAUAAUUGCAUUUAAUCAAUAAAAAAUAUCAAACGCAUCCGAAAAAUUUCCAAAUUUUGACAUGAACCAAUCUGUGUUGUAUGUUGCCUAUACAAAAAGAUUUGAAGUCACACCUUAAUUCAAGUGUCACUUGGACUCCAAAUCUUAUUGGGUCCUUUCUAACUUCUAUGAAUCCUUCUAGGAGGUGAGUCGGUUUCUAAGCAUCAUAUGUCAGAAAUUGGGCGAAACCUUCUCAAUUGUUUACCAUAGCCUCCACACAUAAUAUCAUGACAUCUUGACAAAUCUUGUGAUUUUCAGAUUUCGUUUGCUUUUUUUAGAAUUUAACAACCAUUCAACCACACGUUUGUGGUCGUGUUUUUUAAAAACAAUGUUCAAAAUUUCAUUUCAUUUCCUGGUUGAGACCUCAAUCCGGACUCCAUAAUAUGAAUAUGAUUUUUUCACUGAUUUCAAUCCAUUAUUUCAAGUACUUGCAGUUAAAAUCUGACUUGAAUAAAAAAAUUCCUAUUAAUGCAAACAAUUCAUUAAAAAUAGCAAACAGACCAGAAAAUAUACCAAAUUUUAAUAUGCAUUACCAAAAGUCCUACAUGGGGAGUAGAAAAAGUGUGGAGGUCAGGGGAGGGAAUUUUUUUUUCUUUGCCGAGUGCCAACAGAAACACUCGGCAAACUCCAUGGUUUGCCGAGUGUCUGCGGUUUGGCACUCGGCGAAGUCUUGGGUUUACCGAGUGUCUAGGAGUGGCACUCGGUGAACUUUUGAGUUUGCCGAGUGUGUGUGAGUGGCCCUCAGCAAACGUCCUCUUUGCCGAGUCUCGGCGUCCAACACUCGGCAAAGGACUAACGGCCGGCCCACUCCGGUAACAGACGGCGCACGUGCGAAGCACGCGCUGUUGAUUUACCGAGUGUCGCGUAUUUGCCGAGUGUCUGGGAGUUUUUUGCCGAGUGCCUUAUUUUUGGCACUCGGAAAACCACCUAUUUGCUGAGUGUAAUAGGUUUGCCGAGUGCCUCCUUGUAUACACUCGGCAAAUAGGUUGUUUGCUGAGUGCCCGAAAUAAAGCACUCGGCACACUUUUUACACUCGGCGAAUUUACUGUUUCCGGUAGUGAUGGCUCGAAUGAUGCCUCAACUACAACUAGGAUGUAUCUUAGUCACCAUCAUUCCAUCUUCUCUUUCAUACGCCAUUGCAGAAACCUCAAAGUCAAUAAAUUCUAUUUGCACUUGAGAGCACAGGAGUUGUAUAACGGAUUUGUUUGCUCAGGCUGGCCAUCCUAACCCCUGGCACACCAUUGAACAUAUAUCAGGAGAGAUAUUAGAGAAAAAACAUGGAGAGGAGGAGGAAUAGGUGGGUUGGAGGAGGAAGAAGGAGACGAGCCCUUCCUCGCAGUCCCAGCCCGUCCCGGGUCCGCCGGCUCGAAGGAGCUGUAGUCUGCUGGCUGGAAGGAGAGCACGUCUUUGCCAAGGUCAUAGAGAAGUUGCAUGUUCUGCUACAUGUAGCCGCCGAUGACAGUCGUCUCAUUCAUCGGCGGCGAGGCCUUGCGCGCCGAGCUGAACACCACCAUGCACGCCGUCUCGUUGCCCACGGGUGCCCAGUAGUUCUCCGGCGGCAGCACCACUUCCCCCCCGCCGCCAAAUUGCAGCACAAGCGGCGGGACCAGCCUGGCGAGGUCCCCCUGUGACACGCAGAGCUCCAGCCUCUUGCUGAUGAUAACUUUCGGCAGCCGCACGAGGCUGGCGCCCAGCUGCUCCUCGAGCUCCGCCUUCAGCACCCGGUACGCCACGUCGACAAGGCUCAUGAAUGGGGACCCGGUGUCGACCACCGUGCCUGCCCACCUCCCCGGCUUCACCUCCCGGAGGCCGAACACGGCGGCGGGGACGUCGAGCUUGGCUUUCCCCAUCAUGAUCCCGGCGAGUGUCAGGUAGUAGUACGUGCUGAAGGGGUACUCCUUGGAGUUCUUGACAAACGGCACGGACGUGACCGGCGCGCCGCCGCUCAGGGCGGCGGACGCGCCGACGAGGAGGUGGCUCGGGUUGGUGGCAUCGCUGAAGAACGGCAUGAGGCAGUAGGAGAACUUGGUCUCGGAGAGCUGGGAGACCAGCGACAGCGGGCCUCUGCCGAGGCCGAUGAUGCCAGACGCGCCACCCAGGGAGCCCCUCGUGAGCGUGCUCGCGUCGAUGGUCCCAAAGGUGAGCCUCACCUUCUCCGACCCGAACGUGAACUCGUUGGUGCUAAGGUCUCCGGCGAUCUCCUCGAAGGCGUUGUAGGCGGUGUGGACAUAGCACUCCGUCCCGGCGCAGCUGCACUGUGUCGCGGAGCCAAUGCUGGUGGCGCACGCGGUGUUGCUACACGUCAGGUUCUGGGCGGCGUGCGACAGGGACGGGUCGUAGCGGGUAAAGUUGGCUAGACGGGCCGCCCGACACGGCACUAGCAUGGGCACUAUCUGACACGGCACUAAAUGGCACGGCACUAACAGGCACGAUUACUUAGCUGUGUCAUGCCGUGUACUGCCGCCGUGCCUAACUGUCGGCAUAGGCAUGGCACUAACAGGCAGUUAGCGUGCCGUGCCAUGCCACAUGUCACGGCGGCACUGCAGUGCCCGUGCCAGCCCUGGCACUAAGUGUGCCUACCACUCUUUUUACACAGAAUUACAAGCACAAUUCAAAAAUAAUGAGAUUCACAAGCAAUUUAGAACUUAUCUUGCUGUAUUCACAAACACAAAGUAACAAAGUCACAACAGUCACACAAAGUCACAGAGAUAACAAAAUAACAUUUUAUUGGGAGCUUUAGUGCAAUGGCUGGCUCAUUAAAAAUCUAUCUAGGUAAAACUCACCCUUGUGAGAGACCCUAGAUAGGAAAAAAGAGUGCAGCCCAGCUCCAAUUAUAAAGUUCAUCACAGUCCAGUACUUAAUAUUACAGUCCCAUUACAUAAAUGAUAACUAAUCAAGAUAAAGUUCUUCAAAAGCUUCUUCAAGUUCCUUGUCCUCCACCAUGUGUUGCAGCCUUGCUUCUGCAGCCUCCCAGUCUUUGAUGCAGGUGAGCAUCUCCACGAUGUCAGGCUUUAGCUUCCUCCGCCGCUCCUCGAUGAUCUUGCCAGCCAUACUAAAAGUGCAUUAUAAAGAUAUGGUUGAAACAGGAACAGUUAAUAUAUCCUUAGCCAUGGUUGACAACACUGGAUAUGUGAAUUUGUGUUGAUGCCACCAGUUCAAGAUGUUAAAAUCAUCAUCUAAAUGGUUCAUCGUGUCACAGUCCAAGUAAGAAACAAGUUCAGAAAUAUUACCACCUGAAGAACUUGCAGCCUGCAGAAGGGCAGUUGCAGAUGUAUCUCUAGCCAUGCUUAGAGUAGCAGCUAGAGUAUGCAUGCCACCAGCAGAACCAACAUCAUCAUCAUCAUAAAUUUCAUCCCAAGCAGACCUUUUCUUACCAAAUAGGUUAGGAGGUACAGUCCUCCUCAAUCUAACACCUCCAUAUUUCUCCUCAUACUUGUUGUAGACAUCAGUAAGUCGAGCUCUAGUGUUAACCUGGUAAGCACUGUAAUCUGUACUGGUAAGGGUACCCAACCUCCUGAGCACUCUAUUGAAACCUUUCAUUUUAGCUCUAGGGUCCAGGAUGAAUGCAAAAGAAUAAAGCAAAGGUAUGUCCCUCCAGUAUUUGUUAUACUUGUCUAUCAUAGGUUGAACCACAUGUUUGAUGUGAGUAUCAUUAGCAUAAUUCUUUAAGUGCAUAGCAAUCUUAACAAGAUAAUGAAUCAUAAGUGGAGAUGUAGGAUAGUACACACUAGACAAUGCAACUGUAGCAUCAUAAAACAGUUCAAGAAAUCUUAGCACUUUUUAUGCCAUAGCCCAAUUAUCAUCAGAUAAAAGCAACUGAUCACCUUCAACCCUAGGAUAUUGAGCAACGAUGAAAGUUGUGAAUGGGACCUUAUGAGGAAACAAAUGCUUAAGCAUUAGAUAUGUAGAAUUCCACCUAACUUCCAUGUCUAGCUGAAACUUUCUAGAGCUAACACCAGUGGCAAUACAAUAACUUUUAUAUGCAGCAAUUCUCUGAUUAGAUGAGUAUAAGAAAGAUAUUGCAAUUCUAAACUUCUCAAUCAAUGGCUUAAGAGCAGUUAGAGCCUCCUUAACAAUCAGACUGAUAAUAUGGCAACGCUGAUGCAAGAACAAAGAAUUAACUGAAUGUGCAUUGUCAUCCCUAUCAUCUUCCACAACUUCAAUACCAAGAUAUUUAGAAAGAACAGGUCUAAGCUUUUGCAUGGCUGAAACAUUAGAUGAUGCAUUGUCCAAAGUAACAUCAAAAACUUUUUCAGUCAAACAAUAGUCAUCAAGCACAGAUGCAACACGAUCAGCAAUAUUUUGACCAUUGUGUGAACAAUCAAUCAGCCUAAGACCAAGCACUCUCUUCUCUAGUUGCCAAUCAGAGUUUAUAGUGAGCAACAACACUGAGGUAGUCCUCUUUGGCAUUACCAGACCAAAUAUCAGAGGUUAGACACACACAAUUAACACCAGCAGAUUUCACAAUCUCAACAAGCUUAGCCUUGCAAUCAUUGAAGUAUUUUAGCAGGUCUCUAGUGGUGGUUUGCCUAGAUACUGCAACAAAUUUAGGAUUAUGAGCAGUUCUAAUGUAAUCUUCAAAUGCAUAAGAUUCACCCAAAGAGACAGGAACAUCAAGCCUAGCAAGCAGUCUAACAAGUUGAGUAUGGGCAACUAUAGGAUAAUACUCCCAAUUACGAAUACUACCAUCAGGAUUAAAAGAGAUUUGUGACCGAGACAUGCGAGUUUUCUCACGCCUUCUAGGGCAUCUAUCCCUAUGGCGGGUGAGGUGACCAGUGCCACCACUAGAGCGCCCAGAGUACUCCUUAGAGCAAUGGAUGCAUUUAGCUCCAUACCUUACCUUCUUACCAUUCACCAUUUUGAAUAUCUUCUUGAAAUCAAGCCACACGGCCGAGGUAGAGGGGCGUGAGCGCUUAUCGUUGUUCUCUUUCCCGUCCCCAUCCACUUCUUGGUCAUCGCAGGGCUCCAGGAUGAUGGGAGGUUGAGCCACACGGCUGAAGAGCUCUGCGGCAUCCUCGCGCAUGUCAUCCUCGUCAUUAUCUCGGGCCAACCCGCAAAGCCGCCUCUCUUGGUUCGACCCACCCUGAACCGUCUCGUCGUCAUCGGAUCUGGCCAUCGUCACACGCCCGCGCCCCGGUUCCUCAAUGGCUACACAAAAACAAGAGUUAGGGUUAGGGAUAAGGGAUCGAUUGAGCAAGGGUUAGGGUUAGGGUUUCCUACCUUGAUAGCCGCAACACCGGAGUCGCCGGCGACGUUGACGAAGCACAGAUCCAGCGAGAUUGACUACGGAUCUGGUGAGUUCUAAUGCGGAUCCGGCGAGAUCAACACGGGGCCGAGACCUGGCGAGGCCGACACGGAGAUGACGAGAAGGACGACGCGAAGCGAGAAUGCGAGAUCAAGAAUAGGUGAUAGGAGUAUACAUGGUCGUGUCAUGUGCAAGUGCUGGGGGAGGCCGAAGGCCACUGGAGAGGGAGGAGAAGGGCAGGAGGGAGGGGAUCCGGGGAGGGAGGCAGAGAGUUGCUCUCGUAGCGGAGAGAGUUGAGAGCUAGAGAGAGAGGAGAGCGAGCGGAGAGAGAGAGAGAGAGAGGAGCGAUGCAAAUGAGCUAGGGUUACGGAUGGGGGGUGCGGAUCGCAACGGCCUCGCUUAUAUACGCGCCCCCGCCAAUGGUCAGAUCCAACGGUCGGAUGGAGCGGGGGAGGAGGAUCCGACGGCUGAUAGCCGUUUGAGCCGUGCCUUAAGUGGGCUGGCCCAUUAAGCGUGCCGUGCCCGUGCCGGCACUACGGGCCGAAUAGGCGGCCCAGACACGGCACUAACGCCGUGCCGUGCUUGGCACUAGCACGAAGGCUCAUGAGCUGGGCUGUUUUCGGGCCGUGCUUCUUCGUGUCGUGCUCGGGCCGGCCCAUCGUGUUAGUGCCAAAUGGAAAUCUAUAGUAGCAGGGAAGGUCCUGGCGGAAGCAGACGCUGCAAGCCGCCGACUGCGUCCAGACGAGGUUGCUGGCGGUGUCGACAAUGGCCUCAGCCUUCUGCGGCGGGUCAUCGACGAGGUACUUGACGGAGUACUGGUUCUCGACCAAGCGGGCCGGCCCAGACGCUAGACGGCGGUGGGUGGGCUUGAGGUGGAGGUCGCCGCAGGUGGCGAAGGCCACGGAGGAGCACAAGAUUGCGAGCCAGAGCAAAGGCCUCGCCAUUUUUUGAAGUCUUGAUGCUGUCCUACUCCGUAGCACGUUCGUGUUCAUGGGGAAGAAGUACAGGGACGCUAAGUCUAUUAUAUAUAACCUGAGGAUGCAAUGUGAUAAAAAUACAAAAAACAUACUCCCUCCCUUCCAAAUUUUUGGUAGUCAUUCCAACUUUCAUGGAGAGUCAAAACAUCUCAAGUUUGACUAAAUUUACACAAAUACUAAUAUUUAUUAUACUAAAUAAAUACCAUUAAUUUUUUCAUUAAAUAUAUUUUCAUAGUAUAUUUAUUCGGUGUCAUAAACCUUUAUGAUCAUCUCUAUAAUUUUGAUCAAACAUAAAAUGGUUUGACUCUCCAAGAAAGUUGGAAUGACUUAUAAUUUGGAAUGGAGGGAGUAGCUGGAUUCGUAAUGGCAUUAGUUGGCAGAGAGUCUAAUAAAAGAAGAUGAUUGAAUGAAUGUCAAAUUGUUGACAUUACAAGUGGGUAUAUGUUAGGGUAAUUCAGUGAUUUUCAAUUUCCAUAGGAUGUAUUUGUAAUCUUUGAAGUAUUUAGUAACAUGUUCAAUUUAGCAUUGCAGCUGAAUUCGCGGCAGCAUUUGGAUAAAUUUACCCAAAGAAAGCAUGAUCAAUCAUAUCUCAAAUUGUUGACAUUAAUGCAAGUGGCUAUAUCCAAGCUUAGUGCAAACAUCAACUUGAAUAUGAUAAAUAAACUACAGGCCUUAAGAGUAUGUUUACACGACCAACGGAUGAGUUGAGGUUCAUGCAGACCUAGCCAUGCAUCUCUAUGGGAAUGAAUCAUGUUGGCCAAACAUGAUAUCAGCUGCAGUGCUGAAUUGUUUAAUUUGAGCAAUUCACAUGCAUUUUCCUAUAGUAGAUUUUGUCUACAGCAUUUUCUUUGAAGUGGAAAAAUGUGGAAUUUACAUUUAGCAAAAGCUAGUUAGUUUAAUUAUCCAAUUUAGUCUAUCGACUGAAAAAAAAAUGCAAAUGGACAAUGCAUCAGGGUCAACCUAGCCUCACACCACCAUUUCUUGGGAAGUCCGACGCUUCUAACAUAGCGUUAAGCACGUAAGUUAGAGUGCGGCUCUUUCAUUCGUCAAUCCUAUUUGAUUGAGAUGAAUAAGAAGGUAUCAUCACAUGAAUGGUACCAUGUUCCUAGUAGCGUAUGGUAAACUUAUUUGAAAAAUACUCUAUUACCUAACUUUUUUGGUUUUUUUUCUCAAGUUUAUUUUCUACUUCACCUUUAUGGCUUUAUAGAUUUUUGUAUGUGCAGUGCAAUGCCUCAUCCUUUGAUUUUAGUUGCAUUUUUAACUAACAUUAUAGAAUAUCUUUCCCCACCCUUCAUCAACAAACUAUUCAUUUCCAAAGAUUUAAAUACAUGGGCUCUAACAGUGUCAAAUUCUUUUACUUCUGCUGCCUUGUGAGGUUUGCGAGAUUGUUUGCUUGCACUUAAGUCUGACACAUAUUGAGAAAUUCAGGAUUAAAUUCAUAGGUUUAAACAUAGCAUGCAAACAAUACUAACAUGAUAAAAUUAUAGAUGCCAAAUAUUUGAUCCAUCCUUGUCAGCAGCACGUACAGGACCGGGGUGUCCUUACUCUCCCUCAUCUGCAGGGUGGACCAAGGCAAUGGCACGUGAUGCCCGGAUGCUCCUGCAGAGCCACAGGGGGCUCCCCCUUCGGCCCCUCCAAAGGGAACACAUAGUAACCCCAAGGGUCUCCAUAGGAGUGAGCGGGGUCCCCCCUCUGUGUCUUCCUAGGGAGGACAAGUGGCACCCCUGUGGUGUUCCUGCCAAGUCAUGCAUUUCCUGGAAAGGACGUGUGGUGCCUUCCGGAGGGGUCCUCACCAGGUUAGGCAAGACUCCCGUCUGGGUCUCCCCAGAAGGGACACGUGGAGUGUCUGUUGCAAUUCUCGCUGAGUCAGGCAGAGCUACCCUAGGCCCCUAGGCUCCUAAUGGGGCAUGGGAUUGCCUUAACAAAUUGGUAGUGAAAGAAUCAUGCAAUACUCAUGGCUAAAAUACUUAGCUGCAGAGGUUCACAGCAGUGCUCGAGUUCAUAUUGUGAAUUCUAUGUUAAAAAGCCAAGAAGUGUAAUUCCAAAUAAAAUAAAGAUAAGCAGCGCCAGGAUGCACCCAUUUGUCGAGAACAAUUUAAUAUCUGGAUAUGGUGUAAAAAGGACGUUAAAACUCGGUGGUAUAGUAAAGUGAAAUGAAAAUGUGACAAACUAAAGAAAACAAUAUGCAGGAUUUGAAUAUCUUUGAAAGAAGGUGGGAGUGCUACUGAGGGAUCUGCAGGCAUCGUAGGCUCCCGACGCACGACCAAAAAAUUUUUCCACUCUUGCGGGAUUUUUAGUAUUAUAUAGAGAUAUAUCUAUUGAGACGUGGUGUCUUCCCCCUUCAUCGUGUGUGGUGUGGGUUGGCCAAAUAUGCUCAUAUAGGAGUUGGAGCUGCUCGGUUUCAUCCUCUAUGGCAAGCUUGCAAUGACAAUGUAGUUGGGGACCUAUGUCAGCUUGGUCACACCCUUGUUGGGCCCAUCCAUGGCACUGCCUUCUGAGGCCUGGUGGAGGAAAUGAAGUAUGAUGUGUUUUGUUGUAUCCUGCUCUUAUAUAUCAUCUUGCGAGUAGAUGUCGUGUGACCUUGGUCCUUGCAAAUAGGAGCUAUCAUGUCGAUGAGGAUGAAACUCGGCAACGACAACUCAAGGCAGCGCUCAUUUCCCCAGCCUAAGUGCCUAACAGCUGGGGAUACAAAAGGGUUGAGCUUAGGGCAAGAGCUUGGGAUGCAGAAGGCUUGAGCUAGCUUAGGGCAGCACCAUGGUCCAUUUGUAGAAACUCGAAGCUGCCAUGUGUGUGUGUGCUGGGCGAUAUAAUUAAUGACCUACCACAGAUAGCGAUGGUUAUUUGUGCUACGGGAGGUGUUGUGCUUAUUAGUGUUACUAUCCUAAGAGUGUUGUUUUGUGUUGGGUCUUUGAGUAUUAUUAGUUGCUGGAAGGAUUCGACAUCACCUCCUAAUUGUACGUUGUUUCGGUCCAGUUUUCCUCACAAACUAGGCUAAUUCUCUUCUUCUAAAAAAAACUACAGCCAAGCUCUUGGAGACGAAAAGAGCAGGGUGGUCUGGGUAUCCAAGAUUUAGAUUCACAAAAUAAGUGUGUCUACUAUAGGUUAACUAAUGAAGAUGGGGUAUGGCAACAGUUGGUUAGAAAUAAAUAUUUGGGGUACUAAAACCAUAGCUCAAGCAGAGAAAAAAAAAACUAGAGAUUCAUAAUUCUUGUCUGAUUAAAUGAGUGUCAAACCUCUGUUCUAGAAUUUUGGAAAUUAUGAAUUGAACAACAGUGCUCUGAUCAGAUUUUGGGAAGAUGUUUGGCUAGGUAACACUCCUUUUAAGUGAGCAAUAUUCUGUCAUCUAAGCACGCCCAUGGUGGUCUUCUCCUCUCUCCCAUGCUAGCUAAUGGACGGAUCAUAUAAAUUUAUUUAAAUUGGUGUCUCUCCACAUCCACUAGCAAGGCAGGACUAAAGGAUUCUAUGAUCCUGUUUCAUACACGGGCCUUUAAGAAAAUUUGGAAGUUCUAAAUAUUAAAUGGUACUAACCCAUAUAUUCCAAUAGUGAAAAGCAGUGCUUGAUCUGAGGGAAUUUGCAGGCCUACCUCUUGGAAUGCCAUUUUUAUACCUGAAACAAAAAUGUAACGGCCUGCAGUCAUGGUAAACUCAUUUUCCAUACCUGUAAUCACAUUCAGCAUGAUAAGUACUCAAUUACAAGCAUAACAGUUGCACCUUCAAAACACUUAAAUUUAAAACCAGACAGAACCUAAUUAACUUUUUAGAAUUAACCAUGCCAGCCAUGUGGUGAUCGGUCAUAUAUAUGUCAUUUCUCAACUUUCAGUUUUAAAAAAGCUAUAAUCCAUCUUGAGUAUCAAAUUAAACCAACAUAUAUCAGCAAAGCUCUAUGCCAAAGAAUCAGGUGCAUUCCAGCAUGACGAGGAUGAACAGAUGAAGGCAACCAUAAGUUCUUAACCAUGUCUGAGCUACAAGGAUAAGACAACCAAAGUGUGUAAGAAAACUAAGAAUACAGUGAAACCAUGAGAGAUCCGAUAGUUUCUUGAGAAUUGAAUUCAGAGGUUGACAUGAGGUACGGCGAGGGACAGAGGUUGAUAUGCAAUCCUUUCGUUCCUUAUGAUUUUUUUUCUUAUCAGAAACAAAAUAAUUAGCUGGGGAUCAAUAUCUUUGAAUCCUCUCCUUCAAGCUAAAUGGAGUCACGUGCCUGUCUAACAAACUCAACUGUGCGGAGUAGCUAGUGAACUCUCAUGUGGGAUCUCUUUUGGUUGGAUAUAUAUCUUAUAACAUAUACAUAGCUGAUUGGUCCUUUUGCAACAUUCAAACUUUGGCUUCUGAAUUCAGUCUUAGAGGUCAGUAUGAACCCGAAAAAGGAUGCAGAUUCUUCUGAAAUUCAGGACCAUGACAAUAAACAGCAAACUUUGUUCAAAGGCAACAGUAUUUUUUCAAGAUUGCAUAAGAUAAAUAAUGGCACGUAGCAUUGAUAAAUGGUUAGAGUUCAGUUUUUGUUUCUUUUUUUGGAGAUAAGAAACCACUGCUCAUGCUUCAGCUAGCAGCAGUAGUAGUACAGUAUAUCAUAUGCAUGUUUCAAAAGCGUUUCUGAAAAAAUUGGGAGGAAGUACUGCAUUCGAUGACUUCAUACAUCUCCUAUUCUCUGAAUCUCACAGAUUAUAUUGGAUGAAAUAAUAAUACAACAUGGUGUAACUGAUAAAUGAGAACACAACUACUACUAGCAGCUAGCUGCGAUCACCAAACACCCUGGGCAAAGCAAGUUCAUGCCACUAUAGAAGUGCCUCUUCCUGUGAAGCCACAAUUUUGCACUGAAUCCAAGAUGAAAAAAAUCAAACCCUAGUUAAGUAAUCCAAGAUAAUUCUAAUCAAAGCAUUAGAAAGCAUGACAUAUAUCAACGGAACAGUCACUUUGCAUCAGCAUGGAGCCCUGGAGGAUCCAGGAGGCAAUGGGCUGGGGAAGGGUCUUCAUUCCCAUGGCAGUGACAAGAGAGUUCAAGGGGAUCUGUUUGUGGGGCUUGGAAGUAUGUUACUCCUACAAUACAAUGAUCAAAAUCAUUGACCUAACCUAGACAUAUCCUAAUCCAGUACAAACUGGACUCAAGAAGAGCCAAGACAUACAUACAUACAUACAUACGUACAUACAUACAUACGUACAUAUGACACAAAAAGAAAAUUCAGGUAAUGAGAUUGUACACUGAAUUGACCAUUGCUACCCUCAUUGAGUCAAAAUAGUUUGAUGAAACAGUCUCAAUCUCAAUUCUUUGAAGCCAGAGGUAGAAAAUCACUUCCACUCCCCUUUUCAGCAACAGAUGUUGUAAAUUGAUCACUCCAAAUUGAGAAAGCACAUGUGCACAUGUUUGAAACAAGAACAAGAACUCAUAUAUACAGUAUUACACAACUUGUUGAUACACAUGUGGAUACAAGCAUGGUAUCAUAUCAAGCACACCAGAAUACACGUACAGAAAGAGAAAAGGUAAUUUUUUUAAUUUGUGUAGUUCUUGCGCUUCUCCUUAUAAUUGCAUCAGUGCCCCUCAAUUCUUCUAGGUGCAUCUUUUGCUGGUGCCUGCACUGGAUAUAAUGUCAUCCAGCAGAUAUGGUUCAUGGCUGAAUCCCUCGAGAUUUGACAUAUUGCUAGCGAGCAGAAGGUCAUCAUUAGAAGCAGUGUUAGGUAAAGGUGCUGGUUCUUCAUCCAUGACGAUGUCCUUCCCAACCACAGAUAGCAAAGAAUCAUCCAACAUGUCAAAUUCAUCCCAAUUGAUAUCGUUGCCGAUGCUAGCAGCAGCAACAGCUUGUGCAUCUAAGCUUCCAUGCACACCAUUCACUUCAAGGGAAGUAUUAGCUUCUUCCUCAUGUUGGUGUUGAUCAUCACCAACUCCAAUAGCGUUAGGAUCAAUGUCACCAUUUCCAUUGGUUGUACUGCUAGCAUGUAUGGUGCUUUUGGUUGCUGCAACCCCCACAUCGAUAUAAUUCUCUAUAGUGAUAUUAGUAGUGGUGUGGGCGCUAGUGAUAGUUGUUUGUAAAGGGGAUGGUAAUUGCAAAGUGAUUUGAGGAAUAUAAGGGCAAUGGAAUGCCAUGCCACUGUCUUGAGCAGCAACAUUACUAGAACUAGCACUAUCAACACCAUAAACAGAUGCAGAAGCAACCAUGUUCAUGUAGCAGUAUGUAUUUGGAAUAUUGGCUAGUGCUCUUGGAAGUUCUUUCAAAUGGUUCAUCACACCAGAAGAAGCAGCAAUUUUUUUGAUGGUGUUUCCAAAGGACCCAAGACCAUUGCCCAUGUAGUUGGUAGGUGGAAUUAUUCCACUCACUACGGGUGCUGGUGUGCCUGUGGUUGCAAUUACUGAAGAAGCUUCAUAAGGUAGAGAUGCCAAAGGUAAAGGAACACGAGGACCAUUAGUUUGUGGCACUACAAGAGGAGGAAUAUGGACUGAAGGAGGAUAUCUAGUGAAUUGAUGACUAAAUUGUGGCAAUUGGUUCUGAUGAGGAGGAAGAUGGCAGGAUGAGGAUGGAAGAUUAGUCAACAACCUAUGGCGUUUCUUAGUAGGCUUAGGAUAAGGAUAAGAACGGUGCUCAUCCUGAUGAGCAUUCAAGAAAUCAUUUAGGAAAUCAUAAGACUGAGUGGAGGCAAUAGCCUCAGUAAUGUCAGAGUCUAGUAUGAUGCUUCGCUGGCUGGAAUUGGCACACAUCCAAGAACGGAAUGCAAUUUCCUGCACAAAGAUCUCGCAUGCCUUUGUUAGGAAAGACGGCGUGUCAAAUGUCAUCAUCAUUUUACCCUUCUCAUCACAAAUGACCUUUUUGAUGCGGGUCAUGGGGAUUGCACGAUUGCCAAAGUCUUGAAUUGCCUCGAUCUCUACUUGUCUCUUCCUCCAAAAGUCAUCUAUCAUCUCCUGCUGAGAUAGUGGCAUGGGUGUCCUUGGUGAUGAACGAAUUUCAAUACGAUGAUCCAUUCUCCCUUCUCCAAUUGUGAAAGAUAUACCUAGAUAGAGGAUCAAUUCACAUAGUUAGUGCUUACUUAUGACAAAGUAAUACAAAAGUUCAAGUUAAUCAAAUGAAAACAUUCCUAGUUUUAUAUCCUCCAUAUCGUAUAUAGUAGACAACUAUGUAGACAACAUGUUUACAGGUAAAAGCAAAAUAUUUCUUAGUUCUAUAUCCUCCAUAUCAUAGAUAAAAGAAAAAUAUAUAUACAAACAUAAUUAAAUGUACAAAACAAAAGAUAACAUGUAAACAAGCCCCUACAAAAUCUAUUUUCAAUAGUAGUAAGAUGGUGUACCUUAAAGGACCGAUACUCUGAAAGAACUGAAGAAUAAAAACACUUGAACUAUUGGUGAUUGAUGAUGAUGGUGAGCACCAUGGAUGGUAGUUUAUAUAGGAAACCGAGGGGCUCAAAAGUUCUAAGGCAACUAACUUUAAAGAUCAAAAGAAAAUAUAUAAAAAUGAAAAGGCAAGAGGUUGGUGCUUUCUGAAAAAGUUUCAAAACUUUAUAUCUUAUAGCUACAGUCAUCUGUUUGUCAUUUACUAUCUUCUCAUGCUUAUCUAUAAAAAAGUUCCUUGGAUAAAGACAAUGUCCAACAACUUUCUGGUUCUUAUGGAUAUUACUUUUGUACUUCUGAAUGACAACUAAGACAUAAUAAAGUAGGUGAGAGUGUGUUACUAGUUGUAUUCAUGUUGAAUGUAUAGGAGGGGAGGUGCACACUACGUGCCGGGUUCUAGGUGAAUAAAUUUUUUUGUAAGUUAUUAAAAAUGUACAAAAGCUACUUUUCAUGAAUGGACAUAUCUAUAGUGGAUGUACAUUUGAGUUGUAAAGCUAUAUCAUUGAGUCAUCUCUUUAUCCCUUCCUAGAACAAGCACCUUCUAUUUUAUAUCCUUAAUUCAUGAUUGUAACAUUCCUUAACUUCAUAAACAAAGAUAAGGAUGGACAUGUGGGUGCUAGUUGGUACUUAGGUGUUUACAACCAUGGUUUCCAUGUAGAUUCUAGGCUAGUCAUGUGAUAAAAUUACUUCCCAUUGUGGUUGUUUAUGUUGUGGAGGCUAAGUCAUGUAAGAUCUUCAUAAAAAGCAUCCAUAAUUUUUGUGACAACAUGUAUUUGUGCAUUAGAGUCAUGAUAUAAUUUUAUAUGUUCCUCAAAAGUGACGCUUAAAGAAAGUAACCCAAUGCCGUCACGUAUUUGCACAUGAGAGUGUACUUGAUACUAUCAUUAUACUUUCACUUUAUAUCCCAUAGCUACAGUUUGUUUGUCAUUUACCAUCUUCUUAUGUUUAUCUAUUAAAAGUGCUUGGAUAAAGACAAUGUCCAACAACUUUCUGGUUCUUAUGGAUACUACUUUUGUACUUCUAAAUGACAAUUAAGACAUAAUAAAGUAGGUGAGAGUAUGCUACUAGUUGUAUUCACGUUGAAUGUGUAGGAGGGCAGGUGCACACUACGUGCCUGGUUCUAGGUGAAGUCAACUUUUGUAUAAUUUAUGAAAACUUUACAAAAGCUACUUUUUCAUGAAUGGGCAUAUCUAUAGUGGAUGUACAUUUGAGUUGUAAAGCUAUACCUUUGAGUCAUCUCUUUAUCCCUUCCUAGAACAGACAUCUUCUACUUUAUGUCUUUGAUUCAUGAUUGUAACAUUCCUUAACUUCAUAAACAAAGAUAAGGAUGGACAUGUGGAUGCUAGUUGGUACUUAGGUGGUUUUACAACCAUGGUUUCCAUGUAGAAUCUGGGAUAGUCAUGUGAUAAACUUACUUCCUACUGUGAUUGUUUAUGUUGUGGAGACUAAGUCAUGCACGAUCUUCAUAAAAGCAUCCAUGAUUUUUUGUGACAACCUGUAUUUGUGCAUUAGAGUCAUGAUGUAAUUUUAUAUGUUCCUCAAAAGUGACGCUGAAAGUAACUUAAUGCCGUCACGUAUUUGCACAUUAGAGCGUACCAUAUACUAUCAUUAUACUUUCACUUUAUAUCCAAUAGCUACAGUUUGUUUGUCAUUUACCAUCUUAUUAUGUUUAUCUAUUAAAUGUUCUUGGAUAAAGACAUAGUGUCCAACAACUUUUUGGUUCUUAUGGUUAUUACUUUUGCACUUUUGUAUGAGUAGUAAGAUUGUAAAGUAGGUGAGAGUACAUCACUAGCCCUAUUCGUAUUGCAAUGUGUAUGGGAGGUGCACACUUCAUGCAUGGCUCUAGGUGAAACCAACUUUUGUGCAAUCUAUAAUACUUUACAAAAUCUAAUUUUCAUUUAAUUGACUCAUCUAUACAUUUGAGGUGUAAAUGAAUCAUUUCUUUAUCCCUUCCUAUAACAUGCACCUUAUACUUUACAUCCUUGAUUCAUGAUUGUCACAUUUGUUGACUUUAUAAAUGAUGACAAGGCUAGGUAUGUCAUUUGCAGAAACUAAAUCAUGCAAGAUCUUUACAAAAGCAUCCACACUUUAUGAACAUCUAUAUUUUUUGAAUUAGAGAAGAUAUAAUUUGUAUGUUCCUCAAAAGUGAUGCUGAAAGCGCAUGACUUAUGGGAAUCUAAGAAAAAAAAUUCUGAACUAUUAAAGCAAUCAUGUGUGCAAGUUGGUUAAAUGAUACAUAUAUACUUAUGUGAAUCUAAGCAAAAAAAAAUCUAGAGAUCAAGAUAGAUGGGAAAAGUAGUUCAAGUACCUGUGAUUCACGGCAUGAUAAAUCGAUUAGCAUGCAUAGUUCCCAUGAGUCUUUUUGUGGCUCUUAUGAUAUGAAAAAGAGGUGGGAGGCUUCUUGUCCGUCCAUCUUGGUUGGAUCAUAGCUUGUACUUCAUAGGGUGAAAAUGGAUUAUGCGGUCUGGAAGUAUUGUCAAACUGUACAAAAAAGGGAUGAUUAUAAUGAUGACACACAUACACACCAGUACACAUGCACAUCAUACAACUCUACAAUUGUAUCCCCUAUGACGCACAUACAAAUAGAACUGCAGAAAGCACUUGCAUGUUUGAAAAAUCAUGAGCAUAGACACAUGAACCAUAUGGUAAGGGAGCCAUACCUCAUACAUCUACCACUCCAUCAAGACAUGCCUCUCCAUGCUGUGAUUUAAUGACACAUUGAAUUAUAGUCAGUGGCACAAAUUAGAAAUUUAAAUGUAACAAACAACAUAUAUAUAAAAGAAGAGACACAAACUUACUAAUUUCUCUUAUCAAUGAUAAAAUUCCCAUCAGCUUCGACUAGUCAAUUGUACAGGCGCCAUUUGUAUCUAGAGCCACCAUAUUGGUCAAUGAUGGUGGAGGAGUAAGGAAUGAUUUGAGAAAGCAAAGGAAGAAAGGAUGACCCUUCUGAGUUGUCCCUCACCAGUCACCAUGUACUUGAUAGAGGGUGUCAAAGUUGCAAAAAUAGACUCAUUUUUUUCCCAGACCAAUGCCUCGUGGGCCGCCUUUUAUAGAGUUUUUUUCACAUGAUCAUUCCUUGUCUUUUUAGAUAGUCUGCUACAACACGUAAGUAAUUGUCGGGCACUACAAUGUCGGUAGUAUAAUGCGUGAUAUUUGUGCUUUAACAUUCAACAUCCCAAAUUAAGUCAUGCCAAUAACUAGGCUGCAUAAAUUUUCUGUUGCAACUAGGGAGUGGAUCACCAGUAUGUAGUACAUUGAGCCUGACCCCAAAUUUAUUCUUAUUAGUUUCCAAUGUAAUAUCAUUGAAUGGAACUUAUUAUUAGGCCAAAAAGGCUUGGGCAGAACUAACCUUUUAAUGGUAGGCAUUGCUACCUGGGAUGAUCAAAUUCAAAAGGACAAUAAUACUAGGAUGUAUACCAAGGAUGAAAUCCUGAUCUUAUGCGAGGAAGACUAGAUCAAUAGUAAUCCUCAUAUGAGGGGAAAAAUGCAUUACCCUGGGUGUAUAACUGUGAUCCUAGUAGGAAGUGACCCUCCCUCGGUCGGACUGUAUAAACAAGGUGUGGGGACCCCCCUUCGGGAGUCCUGUUGAUCACCUAUAUUAGUCUCUAGAUCAGUUGGCUAAUAUAGUCAUAAUCACAAUUCAGUAUUUUAAGCAAUAAAAAGGUGUAUAAUUUAAUAGGAAAAGUUUUUCACCUUAGCAUAGAGAAGUGGUGUCCAUCCACUAACAAGAUGGUCCAAACACUCGAAGAUCUAUACCUGCAUGAUGAAAGCAAGGCUGAGUACACUUAUGGUUGGUACUCAGCAAGUCCUAAUAUUUACUAAGUAAUUAUAUGCAAUUUUGGGAGGUAGACAAGGAGAAUAGUUUAUAGGCAUAUCCUAUGCCUAAAGCAUCUCUCUCAUGCAAGGUGAGUUAAAAGCUGAGAAUUGAAAAGACUCUCUAGAAUAUAUGUUAUUUCAUAUUUUAAGAGUUGUGGUCCUGGAGGGGAAAAACUACCUCCCCUACAAGUCCCCAAGUUUUAUUUUGGAAUCCAGUCCUACGACUUUCAUCCAGCAUUCCUAACAUGCUAAUCCCUUUCCAAAGAGCUUCAAGAGGUAACCAUGGGGGCUUUAACUUAGUGAGCCCAUGAUUGCGAGCCUCGGCUAUUCGAAUAGAUUAUACUCUGUGCAGUGGUGUACACUUUCCCCAUACAUCCGAUCAGCCUAUACCCUUGCAAAAAGGCGAUACUGACCUACGAGUUCCAUACCCACCUAUGUCCAUCUCUAGACAGCAUUCUCUAGGUCCACCCACGGAUAUACUGGGGUUUAAAUAGGGGCCACUAACAUCCGCUUCGCGGAUCUCAUCCUGGAAACAUGCGCAUAAAAUAAAUCAACCAGGGACCUGGGACUAUGCGAAGGUCCUGCUCCAGCAUAUCCUUUGCCCACCUUGGCCUCUUGGGAUGGAUAACUAGGUUCAGCUAGUGGGGCUUGAACCAAGGCUUCACAUAAAUAGGCACUCCCGAAGGAUGUACCUUUUUUGCACGUAUGGUUGUACGGUUCACAAGAAAGACUCGCCCAAUGAACCGAUCCUUAUGCAACCGGAGUAAGCUCUAGACGGAGUACCCUCCAUCGAGGGCGCUCCCUUGCUCCCAAGUCCAUAACACACCCUAGGGGUUGCUAUUAUUAUCAUUUUAUCUUUUAACUCACACUUCCCAAAAGAGAAAACCCUUUCUUAAGCUUCUUAUAAAAAUGAAAUUUUAUGAGAAGGAGUUGGAUCCUCUCCAUAGAGAAUCCAACAUGUGUUAUCCCCAUAUACGGGGCGUGACUCGACUUGCCUAGCAUAUCUACAUGGGAAGAGUUUAUGGGGUAUGUAGUUUUGCCUAGGCUGAAUAUGGCUUAUGGCAUUUCAAUAGCAAAAUGACUAUUAUGUCCUUUUUGGGGCAUAGCUAGCAAGCACGCAUUUUAAAAUACCCUAGAAAACAAAUGCAAUUAAUCAUAUUAAGUUGGCAGUAUUAUUACUCUCACGCUCAAUGGGGGCAAAGCAUGAGCUAGAGUCGGGACUUGCCUUCAUUGAAGACUCUUAGUAUUUCCUAGGGUGACCAGGUCAUCCUUGGCUUCAUGUCUUCUGGUUCCUCAUCUUUGGAGCAGAACAUAGUCAUCUACCAGCUGGCAUAAGCACACAAUAGUACAAUCAAUCUAACAAUCAAUCAAUAAAAUACCAAAGGACUUGGAGAAGGAAGGAUGAUGGGCAUUUUGGGAAUUACCUGGCAUUUAAAGGUGAAUUCCCAGAUAUUCGAUGGGUAGUUCAUUAAUUAUUUAGAAAUAGAUUUCUAAAUAAUUAAUGAAUUAGAUGGCUAGAUUUUAAGGAACAUAAUGAAUAAUUUCCUAGGGGUUUAUGAGGUUUCGAGGUUUGGACGAUAUUCAAGAUUUUGGGUCGGGCGGCAUCACGGAUUAUGUUUGGAUGGUAUUCGGGAUUUUGGUUGGGCAUUGUAACGGCUAGGUCGGGUCAAGGUUUGAGGUUUUAGUCGAGCAGCAUUCUGAUUGGGCUUUGGGGUAGACUCUUGAUAUGAUUUGGGUGUUGGGUGGUGGGAGUGGAAACUUGCACGAUGAGCUCGGCUUUAUCCUGAGGCUCGGCCCUAUGGCGGGUGGAGCUCGGCAAGUUUCUUUGGAAAAUGACUUAGUAGGGUGCCACAUUGGUGCUACGUUUAUGGGUUUGAGAGCUCGCUUGACGGACACUGCUUCGACCUGUCCCGAUGUUAUAGGGUAGUCACACAGUGGCAGGUGGGGCCGGGCAAGAUCGAGUGGAAGCUAGAGAGCUUGCACGGCGAACUCACUUCGACCACUAGGGUGGAGCUCGGACAAGAUCAAUCAGAUGGGGGUCAGAGCUUGCUCGACAGACUCACUUCGGCCACUAGGAUGGAGCCUGGGCAAGGUGACCAAGGAUAGGCAUGGAAAUAGGCUUGGAUGGCUCUAAGAUAUUUUUAGAAAUUUUCCUAGGUUUUUUAGAAUAUGGAGGAGCAAGACACGAACUUCUUGGUGCGCUUAAGGGGUUUUCUAUUUAGGUGGGAGCUAGAUAUUUGGAAAAGGGCAUGAAUGUGAUGAACAAUAGGAAAUGAGGGCACGGAUAUGCUUAGAAUGUUAUGUAGUAUUUUUGGAGAAUUUUUGGAAAUGUGGAAGCACUUUAAGCAGGAUUUGUUGUGCACUUACCGGGUGGGUGUAGCAAUUUUAGGCUGGCUAGCGCAAGGGGUGGGGACCGCCCGGUGCACUAUGCCGUGCACCACGCCUAUGGACCCGUGGACCAGCGUAGCUUGGGUCCACGGUCCAGUGGACCACGCCCACAAGCGCUGGAGGUGAUGACAGCCUCACAGCAUCGAAGUUGGGCCUGCUUGGCAGUGGGGAAGAAAGGGACGGAGGGCAACGGAUGUGGAUGGCAUACUGUUGAUGGCUCUUAAGUACCAAAUCUAGACUGUCAACUCCUGCAUAAACACAUAAAAGAUGAGCAUCAACAGUAGUGGUAGGAGUUAUUACUAACGAAUUCCACAAGUGUUGGUGAAUACUUGUAUGUAGGUCCAUUAAGGGAGAAAACACACCUCAAAGAGCAAGGAAACACACUCUCAACCAAUUAAGAGCAAGCACGCGGAUCCAUGGCCCCACAAACAGGAGUAAACUAGCUAGAUUCACCGCGUAACACCUCGUACCCACACGAGGGCCCACUAGGCAGCGUCCCAGAUGAAAGGCAGUUACUAGGGGUCAGCCGAACCCCUGGUUCAGCUAAACCCCUAGUGGGCCCUCUUGUGCCCAGCUUGCACAUCGCGACUCCUUAUGACUUCCUGAAGGCGGUUGUGACCGUUUUGCUGGGAGUUACCACCUUAGAGCCUCAGAUCCUGCUAGGUGGCACAAGAAGAGGAGUUGGGGGAGAAUAUUCCCUUUGGAUGCUAGGAGCAUCUCCACUCUCCCAAGUCACCUCCACACUAUAAAUAGGAGGGUGUUAGCUGGAAUUUCCUUAUUGAGCUUGGUGUGUUCCUAAAUGCGUCUAGCCCAUUGAAUCUCUACUGUGAUAACAAUGGGGCUAUUUCUCAAGCAAAGGAGCUAAGGAACCACCAGAAGAACAAAUACGUAAUUCGGCAAUUUCAUCUCAUUCGAGACUUCAUUAAUCAGGGUGAGAUCAAGAUAUGCAAAAUACAGACGGAUUUGAAUAUUUCUGAUCCGUUGACAAAGCCUCUCCCGCAGUCUAAGCAUGAUGCGCACAUAAGAGCUAUGGGUAUUAGAUAUCUUCUAGAUUGACUCUAGUGCAAGUGGGAGACUUUUGGAGGUAUGCCCUAGAGGCAAUCAUUGAGAUGAUGAUAUUCCAUUGUAUCCAUGUUAUACAUUGUGUUCCUUGAAUAUCCAUUAAAGGCUACUUGAAUUGAUUUGCAAUUAUAUGAAUUGUGUGUGAAACUCUUUACUUGUAUAGUUAUUCUAAAAGUUGUACCUAGUCGGAGUUCAUGUGAUGACACACAUGAAUAUUAGACUGGCACAUGUAUUAGUUGAUGACUAUGUUUCACAAGUCAUAGACAUGGAGAUGUCAAACUAAUAAUGUGGGCACGUGUAGAGACAUGUGCUAGGACUGACCCAACGCGAGUUACAUAGUUCUCUCUUUACACAAUGUGUAUGCUUUGUCCUUAGAGCUGAGAUUGUCGCAUGUACUCAAGAUGUGGAUCGACUUACUUAGGGGCUAUCAAACGCUGCAUCGUAACUGGGUAGUUAUAAAGGUAGCUUUCGAGUUUGUCAAGAAGCAUGCUGUGAGGCAUGGUUAGUCAAGAUGGAAUUUGUCCCUCUCUAUUUGAGAGAGAUAUCUCUGGGCCCCUCGAGUGAUCGGAUCCAAAAAUGCAUGGCCAUGCUACGUGAGGUUAAGAGUUAACCUAGAAAGAGAUUCCGAAUUACAACGUCGAGAAAGAGUGGUCCGCUUGGAGCUAGACCAAAUAUCGUGAGGCAAAGAGAAUAGCAUGUACGUGAUAUUGUGAUGGUUCAUCUGAUAUGAUCUUCAUGUGCGUAUAGGAGUUAGUAUGUCUUGCUAGAGACCACUACUAACUAUUAGCCGAGUAGGAGUACUCGGGCCAUGUCUAUACGUAUAUGAACCUAUAGGGUCACACAUUUAAAGGGCUGGAAGCCCAAUUCGGAUGUGAUCUGAAUUGGACCAGGUUUAGGAGUACCAAUGGGCCUCGGACCCAGAGGCCCGUUAGGAACCCCUAUAUAUUGAGGGGUGGGGGGCACCCUAGGGUUAAAAAAAUCCCUUUUCGCACGAGCAGCAGCCGCGCAUCCCACGCCCUCGCCUUGUUGCAACUCGCAGACCUAGUAGUUUAGCUUGCGACGCUUCCUCCCCGCACAUGGGGGGCGUGCCUCCGCGGCUCCGCUAGUCCUCGACCUCAGGGGUUGGGCGCCUAAUUUUGGUCGGUGAACUUCCACGGCUCUGCCAGUCCUUGUCCUCGAGGGCUAGGCGCCUAAUUCUGCUCGGCGUGCCUCCGUGGCUCUGCUAGUCCUCGUCCUCGGGGGUUGGGCGCCUAAUUCAAGACGGCGUGCCUCCGUGGCUCCACUAGUCCUCGACCUCAAGGACUAGACACCAAAUUUCAAGUCAGUAUGCCUCUAUGGCCCCAUAAAUCCCCAAAACCAAAUGUAGAAACAUAUUUUUACUCAUCUACAAUUAUAUUCCCUGGAAAGAUUACUACAAACACAUAUUACAAGUGAUUGUGAACAGCUCUGGGAUAGCUGACACCCUAGGAUAAGAAGCUACAAUGCAGAAAAAGAGAAAUGCACAAUUACAAGAAAGCAGCACGAAAACACUUCCCCUAGCGAUGUCCUGGACAAAGUGGCGGGGUUCACAAUAUAGCCUCCUCACGAGGAUUCUUCUAGCAUCGUUACCUCCCAACUUCACCGCAGAGAUUGCGAAGGGAAGGAGCAUCUGGGUUUUCUUCACAAGACUUCUUCUAGCAUUAGACUUCUGGGCGAGUGUUACUCCUAUUAAAAACUACAAGCUUCAAGCCUACGAGUGCUAUUAUUUGGGCCAUGGCUCGUGCUGAACAUUGGUCUAUUUAUAGCCCGGCCGCUCAUUAACAUCCAAGGUGCUACAGUGGGCUCGUGAGGGUUCACGACAAGGCCUUCCCAUGCCAAUACGGCUCUACAGUGUUCACGUGAUGAUCAGACUGAUCUUCAAGUACUGACGGGAAUCCUGACACCACUCAGACGGCACAGUACUCCCGUGAGCAGGCAUUUUUGUUGCUUAUCUAUCAUUGCACGAGUCCUUAUCUUUAGAGAUUUGGACGUAUAUUUUUGGUCGGCAGGCCUCCGUGGCUACGCCUAUCCUCGUGCUCAGGCACUAGGAUCUGCUUCAAGGGACAAUUUCUUCUUCUUUGACCAUUGGACUGAUUAUCCUAAUCACUUCAAUGCUCAAGGGCUACUCCUACGGAGUGCAUCUUGCGACGCCCUCCGUAACCUUUGCUUUGACCUACUGGAUACUAGCAUCCAUCAACUCGGCACUCGUCUUCACUUUUGCACGUUGGCUUUGUGUUUGCUCAGAUUUUCUUCUUUUUUGAGCACUGCGCAGCCUCUCCGUCACCAUGACGCCAUCGCAGCUUCAGCCAACUUCAUCUCAAGCUUCACUGUGAUGACCUCAAAGUUCCUAUUCACCUACACAUCGCUCGGGGGCUUGAGGGAUAUGGGUACCCCAUAGGUCCCUACCAACCAGGAUACUGGCCGGAUCUGACAAGUAGGCCCGCACGACCAGGCGUGCGGGCCGAUGACAUGAAGAUAUUUGGAGUACACGCCAAGGCAACUAGAUAGUUUAAAUCUACUUUAAUAUUGUGGAACGCGUAUUGUAGUCCGACUUAGAUUACCUUCCACAUAACUACUGAGUAGAUUAGAUUCAAACCGACUUAUAACUCUUGGUCGUUAGCCUAUAUAAGGUGGCCAAGAGCACCCCUCGAGGGUAUCCCAACAUCGACUCAAACAUUGAGCAAUACAAUACACCAACAUAUAGGACGUAGGGUAUUACUCUCCGAAGGCCUGAACCUGUCUAAAACUCUCGUGUCCCUUCGUGUUCUCGUGAUCACCUUCGAGUUCUUAGUUUCAUAACCACCCUCACCUGCAAAUCAACCACCUGGAUAACACCCUGGUGGACUGCCGGGCUACUAAAUCCGAUAGAACUAACUUUACUCAAAAGAAAUUAUUGAAAAUGAAUAGAAGUAAGAGCUUGGUCUCAUUGAUUGAGUACUUGUGGGUUUCUCUUCGUGUAUUUUUUAGCCGUAUAUGCAUCUUUACCACUAUUAUAUCAAGAAGGAUUUGGGCCUCACAUUAUUGAACCAUCAAUUCCAUAUCUUUUUUAUGCUAAAAACAAUAGAAGUAACCUUGUGCCACCAUUCAUACACAAAUGGGUACACACUUGAUGCUUUAGAUAGCACUUUGUUUGUUUGGCAUUCACCGUCAUUUUCUAUAAAAGUUGUUUGCGUAAUGAUGGAGUAUCUAACAACUUUCUGGUUCUUAUGGAUAUUACUUGUAUUCCUCCAUAUGACAACUAAGAUAAUGAAGUGUGUGUACAACGGGGAGGUGCAUGCCUUAAGCAUAGUUAUAGGUGAAGCCAACUCUCAUGCCAUCUAUAAACAUUUUUUUUAAAAAAGAUACUUUUAAUCGAUUUUUCAUUGCUAUAAUAGAUGUCCAUAUGUUGUGUAAAGGUAUAUGUUUGAGUCAUUGCAUUAUCAUUUUAUCCCUUCCUUGGACUCGCAACAUCUACUUUGUGCACUUGAUUUUUAGUUGUAACAUUUUUUGACUUCAUAAACCAUGACAUCGCAAUAUACAUGUAGAUCUUAGGUGGCACUUAGGUGGUUUGCUAAACAUGGUUUCUAUAGAGGGGCCGGAUCAUUUAUAUGAUGUGGAAACUUAGCCAAGCACCGAAAGGACAUGGAUUUUCCUUUGAGCUAUAACACAAAAGGAUUUGGCGAAAAGGUAAAGGCAUGAGUGCCUACAAAUUUAAUUGUUAAAACAAUUAUGUGUUCAAGUUUGUUUAACAAAAAGUACUUAUGUGAAAUAUAAGAAAAAAUGUGAUGGUGAUCAAGCUAUAGAUAACGUAUAUGAAGUACCUGCAAUGCAUGACAUGAUAUAUCCACAAGGAAUCCCAUAUAAGAAUUGUGUUGCUUGCAUUGAAGCCACGUAAUGGUUGAAGCAGGUGGGGGAGCCUUCUUGUGCUUCGUGGUUGAUCAUAGCUUCAACUUCAAAACAUGAAACAUGAUUCUGCUAUUUCGAAUUAUUUGGUCCCUUUUGAUAAGGACAUGACACACUUAGAUAUAACCAUUCGUGCUAAAGAUAAGGUGAGCUCGUUAUUAUGUAUUCUUUUUAGUUAUUUUGCAAACAGAUUGCUACCUAAAGAUAUUAUUAUAAUUAGGAGCUAUGGAGAGGAUCGUGAAAUACUUGAAGAGAGGUAUGGAGGUGGAGAGGACCUGCAAGGGACGUCCAAGCCAAGUUGGAGGCCCAAAGCAACUCAAGUUCGAGCCCACCUCGAAGUCCAAGAGCAGCACGCACCAAAAAUGACGCCCAGGUUGCAUAUGGAGUCCAUUUUGGACGUUCUUUAUAUGGAUGGAAAGAUAAUUUUAUAGAGCUUCAAAUGGCACUGGUCCCAUAUCAAAAUUCUAUCUGAGUCAACGGGAAUUAUCAAAACAAUUGGACGUCCAGAAUCUGUCAGGUGCUGCGUCACCGUCUUUUGGGCCGGUGGGCCGUGUAUCGUAUUGGGGUCCAUUAGGGACGUGUCCAGGGGGUGGAGCUCGCCCCUAACUCCGUAUAUUCAGUAGCCGCCACCCACAUUAAAGUUUGGGUUUGGCUUAGAUUCAAUCUGUCAUUGACAGUCGCUGUUCAUCAGUUUGUGGGACCCCAACUUCAUGUGCUUAAUCCAAAGUUUCUGCAAUUGAGUUGCAUUCUUCCUCGCUCUUGCUUGUGUUCUUGAUUCACUUGCAGGAGGUAGCCUUCAUGGCGAGGUCAACCGGGCUACGCACGGUUGAUAACCAAAGGAAGAAUGGUGUUUCGAUUGCGGGGUUCGGAUCUUGCUGAUCGGAAGCCAGAUCGAGUGUGUUGCUACUCCACCAAAUCGAGUUAUUCUUACCUAACGGAAGAUCGGGCACCCUAGCUCCCAUAACCUUUUAUAAGAAUAAUUGGAAAUAGAAACUCUAACAAAAAGGGAUAUUUUUUCAAUUAAAAGUUUGACACACAUGCACACACACCACCACACAUAACAUUGCACACAUCCGCAGCCACAUCCCUAUGACGCACCUACAAAUAUUACCACAGAAAGCAUUUGAAUGCGAAGAAAUCAUGAGUAUCAAAAUCUCGAAUUGUGGUGGGAUGAACCAUACCUCAACCCCCCCCCCCCUCCCCCCCCCCCCCCUCCUCCUACCCACCCCACCAAAAUGUAUGCCUCCUCACUGUGAUAUGAUGAUACAAACUAGAAAUUUUAAUUAACCAAAUAAUGUAAGAAAACAAAGGUAUAAACUUACUUUCUCUUAUUGGGGAUAAAACUCCCAUCAACUUCAUAUAGUCAAUUGUAUAGUUCCUUGUAACUAAUCACACCAUGUUUGUCUAUGAUGGUAGUGGGACAUGAACAAUUUGAGAAAGGAAAGGAAGAAGGCAAGGAUGAGCCUGCAUAGUCUUCACCAAGUGAUCAACUAGAGGGCGUUGAGGUUGAGAAAACAAAAUCAACUUUGCACACUACAAUGCUGCCUGUUGGGUCCCCUUUUAUAGAGUUUCUCCACACGAUGAUCCAUUCGUUUUCAAAUAGUCUGGUACGACACGUCAAAUAUUGUCAGGCACUAUAGUAGUAAUAGUAAUAUUGCGUGAUGUUUACGCUUUAACUUUUAACAUUAAUUCUAUAAGAGACUAAACAAUGCCGUCUGUUACCUAAGACCCAUAAAAGUUCUAUUGCAGCUGGGUAGUAGAUCACCAGACUGAAACAAAUUGAGCCUGGCUCAUUAUCCUUAUUAUUUUCCAACAUAAUAUAUAACAUCAAUUUUUUUAGCACAGAUAAUAACAUCAAAUGGAACUGGUUAUCAUGCCCAAUAAUAAUCUUAUGGUGUCAGGCUUGGGCUGCAUUUUUCUUUUGGCAGGAGGCAUUUAUCCAUGGGAUGGCCUAAUAAAUUAGUCCAUGUUAUACACUAUUGUUAAGUACUGAAAUGUAUAGUGAAUAUUCGAGUAGUCUGUGUUGAAGGCAGUAACGUAGAGCAGUCAGAUUAGCCAUUUCCAAUGGUCUCUUCAUUUCAUCAUCGAACGAUGUUAAUGCGCAACCACUUAUUUUAAUCAUAUUAAUUUUUCUGUAUUGGUAUCUGCAGUUUGUGAACUACAAUGCACUAACUUGACUUUCAGUGCUCGGUAGAUGGGAAGGGAAGAUAUGCGGAUUUGAUAAUGUGAGGAACCUCUCUUUUGCUGUAGAAUCUGAUGACGGUGGUCGCUCCAAGAACCCAUAUACUGAUCACAAAAUUCUAGUAUUUGAAAAGGGAAGGCAGUGUGUGUUUGCUGAGGCAAGCAACUGUUAUGUAGCUCCAAAGGCUUGGAAAGAAGUGAUAUUGUUGUAUUAUUAUGUUAUUAGUAGUUACUAGAACUGUAUCCUGUUUGUUCAUCAGCCGAUAUCAGGUACCUCUGUCACUGUCGAUUGUGUUUUUAUAUGAUGGGUCAUGUGUAAUCAAUUGUGGUCCUCUAUGUGUUUCAAUAGUUGCAGGCUAGGAUAGUGGAAAAAGAGUAUUUGAAUGCUUAAAUAAUGGUGCGCAUAUGUAUUCACAAGAUUGAGGAGCCUUUUAACAUCAAAUGCAUACCACAGCAUAUAGUAUGCAGGCAAUGAGCAUUCUGUGCUAAAACAAGUGAGCGGCUAGUGCCUGACAGUGUGAAAUGAACAUGCCAAACGUUCUGAACUUUGAGAUGCUUUAAGUACUGAGAUACAUGCAUAUUUGCAGGGCGCACAAGUAGUUUCUACAUAUUUAAAUGCACCACUAACCUAUUGCUUCAUGUCAAUUGGCUUUAGGAUACCACAAAUAAUAAAGUGCUUAUUUAUUUUUUGUUUGAAGGAGAGAGAAAUCAUGUGAAUUGAUGGAAAUGCCCUUGUGCUCCCAACAGUCAGGCUGAUGCUCUGUCAUGUGUCCCUAUCUUAUUUGCCUACAUUGGCGUUCAUUCUAGCAGCAUGGAGCCCCAGCAAAGUCCUGCCUUCCCAUAAGAAUCUCAACUCAGCAGCAUCAAGGGUGGUGUGGAUAGCGUUACAUAUGAGGGCAGAGACGAGGCCGUCAAGUGGCAGCUGGAACAAGAUGCCCGAUCCCAGUCGAGCAUACAUAUUAAACCUGAUUUCCAAACUUCAUCCCCAUUCCAAAUGUGUUUAUUCAAGCAAGCAAUCGGGCAAUCCAUGUGCACACAUUCAAAUCAAUAUCCAAAAGCAGUGGGGCUUCAAUUUGUAUCACUAUGCUUUGAGUUAUGCUUCUAUUUGUAUACAGGGAGCUUAGUUUCGCUGCCACAAGGUUGUACAUGGUCACGCUAUGAGAGUGGAGACAAGGUUACACUGGAGAGUUUGUUGGAAAAAGUAGCUUUUGGUCGACCCACAAGGAGGAAUAGCCGAAUGGGGUCACAAAUGUGGGGUUAGACCCACCUGUUUAGUUAGUAGAAAGAAUCUGGAGUGGGAGAUAAGGGUAGCACAUCGAUCAUAUUUGUCUCUCCCAUAAACCUAAAAAUGAACAUUUCAUUACAAGCAGUGUCUUGCAGCUUAUUUCCAUAAAGAAACAGUGUCUAACAGCAAAACUUCAUGUUUAUAGCAUGUCCAUGAGAAACUUUGAAAUUAGAGGUAGAAGAUCAAUUCAACUGCUCGCAUCAACAAUAGAUGUCGAGAAUGACAUAUGUUUCACAUAAGAAUUCAUGUAUAUUAUAGAGUUAUUACACAAAUAGUUUCAAGCAAGCAUAAUACAAACCAUAUCAUACACAUAUACAGAGCAAAAAAAGUAUAUUAUGAUCGCAACAACGGCUUCCGUCCACCUAGUUGUGUCUGCUCCUGCUGCUUGCAUUGGAUAUGAUAUCGUCAACAAUGUGCAGUUCAUUAACAAAUCCUAAAAGGCCUGGCAUAUCACUAGCAAGCACAAGAAGAUCGCCAGUAGAGGUAGAAUCAGCCAAAAGAACAGGCUCAUCAUCAAUCACGAUAUCCUCCAAAAGUUUAGCCAUCUCAAAUUCAACCCAAUCGAUGUCAUAGCUGUCUUCACCCAUGCUAGUAGUAGCAGCCGCUUCUGCACCAAUGUUUCCAUGAACAACAUUCAGGACACCAUCAGCAAUAGUUUCUACCUCCUAAUGUUGUCGAUCAUCACAAACAUCAAUAGUAGUGUCAAGAUUAAUUCUACCAUUGUUAUUGGCUGAGCCACUAGUUUGUAUGGUGCUUCCGGUAUCUGCCACUUCUAGCAGGAUAUGAUCUGGUUCUAUGAUACAAGUUGCAGAAGGGAUAGUGCUAUUAGCCACCAAUGACAUGGAAGAGAAUUGCGAAGUAUCUGGAGGACUAUAAGGGCAAUGGAAUGACACAUCUCCACCUUGACAAGCAACAUUAUUACUAAUGCUAGCACCACCAACACCAUAGAUAGAAGUAGAAGCAUUCAUGUUCAUGUGGCAAUAAGUGUAAAAUAUAUUGUGUUGUUCUCCUGGAGAUGCUUGUAGGGGAGUCAUCACACCUGAAGCAGCAAUGGUGUUGCUCAUGUUGGUGUUGUUAUCAAAGAAGCUGAGACGCCUUGCAAUGUAAUUGAUGGGUGUUAUAAGUUCUCUCACAAUGGGUGUAAGUGUGGCUAUGGAAGACAAUUGUGGAGGUAAAAAUGGCAUUGGAACUAGCAUACUAUUGUUCAUGUGGUAGUAAGUAUUUAAGAUAUUGACUUGUUCCCCAAGAUGUACUAGCAUGGGAGUUACCACACUUGAAGCAUCAACGUUGAUGUGGGUGUUGUUCCCAAUGAACCCUAGACCACUGGCCAUGUAGUUGGUAGGUAGUAUUGUUCCAAUCACAAUGGGUGCAGUUGUAACUAUGUUUGCCAUCAAGGGAGGCAAUUGUUGCGGUAGAAAUGGCAAGGGUAACGGCAUAAUGUGGACAUAUGUCGGUGACAUAAGAAGAGGCUGUUGACGAUCGUUAUUGACACAUUUUUAAUGUCAUUUAAGUGGUGUUUUCAUACAUAUUCUUAUACUAACCUGCCACUUGGCACCUGAAAUAACCCCAUUUUCGCAUAUGCAUUGUAUUUUGGAGGACAUUCUGUUUUUACAGGAAAUUGGACCUAAAAGUAUAUUUUUGAAUAAAGCCCUGAACGAGUAACAAACUUGUCAAAGACGAAGGCCAGCAAGCUCAGAAAGAGCCCAGGCCGAUCGGCCUGGUGAAGCCCAAGCCGAUCGGCCAGGGGUCUUCUAGCCUCCUCCGACGCUCAUUUUUUACAAGCACUCCUCCAAGAUUACUUAGGGGCUAAGUUUGUGAAGAUAUGGUAAGGAUCACUUCGGGAUCAAAGAGGAAUCAAAGAGGAUCAAGUGGAGAUUUGGAAAGUUAUUUAAGAUCAAUCUCAUCCCGAAGCUACCGACGUGUCAGACCCACAUGCAUACAAAAAUAAACUUCCAGAACAUAAGAGGAGACUUGACGAUGAAGUUAGGCACGAGGGGAUAAAAGGAAGGAUCGGCCUGGAUCCCCCAAGUCAAUCAGCCUGGGGCUUUUCUUGCUCCCCUUGCCUUCCUAUUUUAGCCACGCGUCUUUCAGAUAUAAGUAUGCCCAAAAUUCAUCGGCACACAAGAUCCAUCCACCAGAAGUCUACGAAUAGAGGGACACACACCAGAGGAAGCGGAGGGCCGCUGCAAGUCUUCAAGGUUGUCUAGGAGAUGGCUUAGGCUAGACCCUAGCUGCCAUGGUCAUCCCUACGCGGCGAAGCCAUGGUGGAGUUCUGGAGCCAAGCCUUGUGAUCAUCAAGGCUUAUGUACACACGAUGAUGAUACCAAUCUAAUCUUGUGCGUACUUUGAUCUACUAUGAUACAUGCUUAUUCUCAUAUGUAUAGCUAUCAUGUGUUCUUUGUAGAAAUAGAUGUAAUCGUGGUGAUUGAGUGCGUAGGAAUUCGGUGUGAUUACCUUCGUGUGGUGACAGCAUGCGGGAAGGGAAAGGCCGAACGAUUGUGUAAUGUUGAGUAGGAUCGAUGGCGAGUAUUGUGGAAGUCGUUUGAGGUAAACCUUUAGGAAACUGGAGGCAUUAACACGCACCUCGUAGUGGUGACCACAAGAAAGUAGGCUGCUUGCAAGCCGCCUUUCUGAGAGAUGACUCUUUAUCAAGGUGCUACAUAGAUUGGUUACCAUUUGGCUGGAACUACAACAAGAAGACAAUAGGCUUAUGCUAUCUUUGGUUGUGUUACCUCAUAUAUACGGAUAUGAUCUGUUUACCAUAUCUAUAAUAUUUAUCUCAUGAUUGGGUUUACCUUUAUAUGCAAUUCAUGCUUCAUCAUAGGAUUAGAUCCAUUUAGCUAGAUAGAGAACCCUAGUCAGUUCACUGCCGAUUCACGGAUUGAUAAACCUUGGAUGGAAUACUCUAAGAAAAAAGCUACGAUGAUCCGUGCACUUGUAGUUCAUAACUUGGCAUGUUAAUUACUGUCAACAAGCUUUUCUGCCGCUAUUGCCAGGGAUCGACAACUUGAACCCUGGGGUGAUCUAUCUAACUUUUCGGACUAACCCUAAUUUUUAUAUUGCAUAUAUCAUAUUUUUCUUGUUUGCAUCCUUGAAAGCAGGUAAAUACUGGAUGCCAAAUGAUCGAACAUGGACUUCAUCAAGUCUCAAUUCACUCCGAUAAGGUGAUAACAACAUCAAGCCCAACUCUUUAGCAGUAGGUGCUAACUUUAUUAGUGGUCCAGCAUCUGCUAUCGAGUCCACACCAAUGAAGACAAUACAAAUGCUUAUAAGCAAGGUAUGCCACUAUGUCAAUUAAUUUCUAAGACUAAUGCUUCUUGGAGAUUUGUUUGUUCAAGUAAAAGGUGUUGGAAGCAACCAUGUCAAGCAAAGAGAGAUGAUUGGAUGGUUUCUCUGCACAAAAGGUGACGAUUUGGAGUUGAUCAAGAUUGGAGGCAACAAGAUUAGAAGCACCAUGACACUACCAACCUUCUCCAGUGGGAUGCUUAAGAACUUCUAAUUGAGUGAUGCGAUCAAGAAAGAAAAAUGUUCAGAUCAUCGACACAAAGCGCAAGAGCCUCCUCUGAUCCCGGCACCUUGUCUAGAGCAAGAAUUAUGGAGAAGAUCCAUCAUUUUCACCAUGCUACUCGCUGGUGCAGCAAUGGUGAUAACCUUGAAGUCAAAGGAUGUGUGACAUAAUGUCCUAAAGACUACAAGAUCAAGAUCAUCAACAUCUCUGGAUCAAUUCGCAACAAGCUACUGUUGUCAUCAAGAUUUUGCAUGACCUCAGAAGAAAACAAUAUAAUAUUUUUAUAUAUUCAGAAAUCCCAUGAAGUCUACAUUCCAACUAAUUAAGAAUCAAGGUAAUAGGAGAUUUCUACAAGAGGUUAUGGCCAAAUCAUCAAAAGUUGUGCGUCCUAAAAUCAGUUCUAGACAGCACGCAGUGCUGAAAUAAAACGGGCAUAACUCUCUCAUUUGAAAUCCGUUUUAGAUGAAUGACCACUUGUUGGAAAGAUAAUUUCAUAAAAUUUUCAAUAGAUUUAUAUUCUAGUAUAUGUUCUGUUCUAUACUUAUGGAAAAAUCCACAAAGAAGAGGCAGCAGCAAGGCAAUGAGAGCAAGACGGAGGAGAUGAGGAUGACAACAAUGAAGAGGAGUUUGGGCAAUGCUUUCAUAAAGUGUACAUGAUCAACUUUAGAAGCUUAGAACAAAAUAAAAACCUCUGGAGCAUGGGUACAUAAAGACACAAGCAGGCUACAUCCAAUACAAAAGAUGACAUCAAGUUGCAUCGAUACUUUGGAUUCUCGCGCAAGGGACCAUGCUUCGCAUGAACAUUAUUGAGGUGAGAAGUCUAGCUAUAUGGAUUUAACUUACGCGCUUUCAGGAGGCAAACCGUCUUUUUAUUUAUUUUCUUUACUAAGAUGACAGUCUAUAUUAUGCUUUUCAAUCAAAACCAUCAAGUAACAUUGUACCGUUGCUCUAACAAAUUCUGCAACCACAUGUUGUAUGCUUUAAAUAAUAUUGAGGGAGCACUUUAUUACUUGAUCUUGGAAAACUUAUAGACCCUUUUUAUGUGCUAUUAGUGUUUAGAGUCUUUUUCUUCGUGUCUUUUUAGAGAGAAAUGUGAAAUAUGGCACCACCCCUUUGAUUCUAAACUAGUGGCUAGUUAAUUUAGGCUAACUUAUGUUUUGUUUUAGACCACCUUCAUAUCAUGUCAUAUCAUUUUGUUUAUCCACCUCAUAUUGCAUUGCAUUUUCAUGUUGCUUUUAUCAAAAUCUUUUCCCACCUAAGCCUUCCUAUCAGCCCAGCCGAAAACCAGACCCAACAGAGGUUGGAUUAACUUGUGUUGCUCAGCUUGUUGCACCAUUCAGAUCGGCCUAAGUUAUUUUUGCCUCUAUUCUGACUACACCCUUACCCAAAGCCUUCCUAAAAUCAUAGGUUUUUGCUUUUCAUCAAAAAAAAAACAAGCCCUUUCUUUUCUUUUUGUUUUUCAAAACCCCCUUAGUUAGAAUUUCUAUGCUUGAUUUCUCUCUUCAAAAUUCUUGUUUCAAGCAAGAAAUAUAGGAUACCUAUAAACCUACCCUUAGCCUUGUUAGUUUGGUUGUUGGGGAUUUUCGAUGAAUGAUUUUCUUGUUGACAUUGCUUGACUUCUUGUGGCCAGCCUUGCUUUGUCAUUCUAAGCAAUUCUUUUUGACUCAACACAUUGAGGAACAACAUCGAUAGUCUUUUCAACUUUGCUAGCCAUUGUUUUUGCUAACCCUUUCGCAUGUGCAUUUGCAUUUGUUCCAUCAUUCAUGUGUUAGCUUGGUUUUCUCCUAAAAAUAUUUAUGAUGAAUACUUUCAUAUCUAUGUUAUUGCUUCUAGGGCAUUUUCCCUUUGCAAUCUUGUGUAAACGUGAUGUUUAGACUUGGUUGCAGACCAUCAUCAUUCAGUUUAAUAAACCUUGCUAGCUUUUCAUAUCAUCUCCAUAUUGUAUUGGUUGGUUUUUAAGCUUUGCAAUGCGCUCUAUUUUUCUUGUACUGGAAAGAAUUAUUAAUCUUAGGAUAAGCAUGGUGUUUGACCUUGAUUAACAAAUUUUUUAUGGCUAUGGAGAAUUUCAACAACCUAGUUGUAAGCAUGGUGCUUAGAACUUGGUGCAAACAUUGUCUUUGUUUAUGUUCCUACAUAUCAUUUGCAUUCACACUUGCACUCACGUACACUCAUUAGGUUUUUGUUUUUAUUUUACUAGAUUAGCUAUGCCACAAGUUAAAGUCUUAGGAAUGUUGUUUAUUUGUUGGCGAUUGCUUCUACUCCCGACAGUCACCUCGGGGUUAGUUUGUGCACUUGAAUUUUUUUGCAAGCAUGGUGAAGCGCUUUCAUGAAAAGAGAAGAAAUUGAAGUACAAUAAAGGUGACAAAAGUGAAGAAGCAUAAAGACAAGCUUCGAACACUAAGAAUAAGGAUUUUAACAAUCACAAAAAGUUUCAUCUUCUUCUUCCAUGCCUAGCACAAUACUAAGCAUGGGGGGACUUGGCGGACGAAGAAUACAAGGAUCACAGUCGUCAGAAGAUACUCAUUUUUCUUCUUCCAUGCUAAGCACAAUGCUUAAGUAUGGGGGAGGCUGCGCUGCACUUCAUCACAAGUAUCGAAAGGAUGGUAAAUUCUUCCUCAACCUUUUCUUUGUCUAUCUCUUUCUAAAAUACCUGUGAAUAUAAGCCUUCAACCAUAGACUCGAUGCAACCUUUGUAUAUCUCUCGAUAAUAACAUGGCUACUAGGAGUACAACCUAGUUUUUGUUUUCUUUAAAUCAUGACACCAUCACCUUGUGCUCACCAGGAUGUUAAUAAUUUUGCUAUAAUCUUGCUUAUGAAAAAAUGAUGAAGGUUGCCGCUUUGUUUUACCUACACAAUGUUGUAUAUGACUUGACUAUUUGCUCUUUAUUUAAUGAACCUAAAUUGAUUAAAUACCAUCUCUUUUAAUUGUGAAGGUUAAAUGACUAAAUUCUAGACCCACAAACUCUAUGUUGCUUUUUGAUUUAAGUUUUCUGAUGAUCUGAUAACUGGAUUUGUCUUUAUUAAAAAAUUAAUUCAUAUGCUAUCUACAUUUGUGAAUCUCUUACAAAGUUCUACAUAUAUAUAUAUAUAUAUAUAUAUAUAUAUAUAUGCGCAUGAUCUUUGAUGACGAAACCUUUAGAUUGCAAACUUAUAUUUUGAUGAGUUGGAUUAAGAUUGAUUUCUGUGGUAUGAUACUUAGAAGCAAGCCAUCUCCUUUGUGUAAACUUUUUUCUUGCUAGCCUUUCUAUCCAUGCAUUGUGAGUUUCUACACUGAAAAUUUCACAAACCUCAUUGGGCAUCCAACCUAAACCCAAAUUAUCAUUUUUGUGACUACCUCCUUGACCACAACCUAUUAUUGAGUAUGGAAAAAUAUUUCAACAAAGAUUCAGAAGAUUAAUUAGUGCCUUUUCAAGAAAAAAUCAAGACCUAGAGGCAUCCACCAGUACGGAGAAUAAAAAGCAAAGAAAACAGAGGCCAGAAGGGGCCAGGCUGAUAGGCAUGGACACCCUCAGGCCGAUGGUCUUGAGGUGUUUCCCCCUUUGUUCCCUCUGAAUUUUGGCAUGAAAGUCCCUCCAGAGGAAUAAAAUAAUUUUUCUGCAGAAGAUCGAAGAUUUUGAUACUUACAUUAGCAGUUUAUCUUUCUUCCUUUUCAUGCUCAGGGACAAACAUUGUCUAAGUAUGGGGGGAGUCAUCGCAUUAUCUCUGACUACUGCUAAGUAAAGUACUAUGUUGCAACAAGUUCUGAGGAGUAAAAUAAAAAAAUGAGGAAAAAGAAAAAAAAUGAGAAAAAAGAAAGAAAGAAGAAAGAAGAGAAAAAUGAAUGAAAAAGAGAAAAGAUAAAGAAGAAAAAGAAUAAAAUGCUCCUCAGUUCUUUGAGCCUCAUUAAAGUUCCCAGUGCUCUUAAGAUUAAGGAUUGAUCCAUACUCAUCUUUCAACCAUGUGCAAUCCGAUAACAAGGACUUCAUUUGUACCUCAGGAUCAUUCAUUUGUAACUUGCACGUAUCCACUUAUCUAAAUGUAUGUGUUUCAUCCCUCUCCCUCUCCAACAUUUAUUUUUCAUGACCUUUUCGACAAGUCUCAGUAAUCCCAAUAGAUCUCUCUUAGUUUGACAAUAUUUCAAGUAUAAUAUUUUGCUAGGAUAGUUUUUACCUACCAAGCUCCACAUAAGCCUUCCACCUUCAUAUAUGAGUAGAUUAGGUUAAAAAUAAUCAAGUAUAGGCUUGAGUGACUUGAUGAGAUAAGUGUUUCCAUGAGCUUUUGCAAGAAAGAAUCUCACUUGUGUUGGAUUUGCAUCCUUUUGAAAACUCUACACGGUGAAACCAGGUAAAGGUCUGAAGAUCACUUAAUUUCAAGAGCAUUGUAUUUAUUUUAUUAUGGCAUGUUCUUUAUUUCUAGUCUAUCUUCCAUGAUGAAAAAUAGCCGGUCACAACUUGAACUUUAAAUGCUAAAUACUUGAGAGAGAAAUGUGUCUUGUUAUGUAUAACUGAGUGCAGGGAUGACAUUGAAGGGCAAUGCUGAUUUCUUGAUUAAGCAAGUAUCCUGGACUUGCUCGAGGACAAGUAAGGUUUAAGCAUGGGGGAAUUGUUGACGCUCAUUAUUGACACAUUUUUAAUAUCAUUUAAGUGGUGUUUUCAUACAUAUUCUUAUACUAACCCGCCACUUGGCACCUGAAAUAACUCCGUUGUCGCAUAUGCAUUGUAUUUUGGAGGACAUUCUGUUUCUGCAAGAAUUGGACCUAAAAAUAUAUUUUUGGAUAAAGCCCUGAACGAGUAACAAACCUGUUAAAGAUGAAGGCCAGCAUGCUUAGAAAGAGUCCAGGCCGAUCGGCCUGGUGAAGCCCAAGCUGAUAGGCCAGGGGUCUUCUGGCCUCCUCCAACACUCAUUUUUUGCAAGCACUCCUCCAAGAUUACUUAAGGGCUAAGUUUGUGAAGAUAUGGUAAGGAUCACUUCGAGAUCAAAGAGGAACCAAAGAGGAUCAAGCGGAGAUUUGAAAAGUUAUCUAAGAUCAAUCUCAUCCCGAAGCUAUCGAUGUGUCAGGCCCACAUGCAUAUAAAAAUAAGCUUCCAGAACAUCAGAGGAGACUUGGCGACGAAGUUGGGCGCGAGGGGAUAAAAGGAAGGAUUGGCCUAGACCUCCCAGGCCAAUCGGCCUGGGGCUUUCCUUGCUCCCCUCACCUUCCUAUUUCAGCCACACGUCUUCCAGAUAUAAGUAUGCCCAAAAUUCAUCGGCACACAAGAUCCAUCCACCAAAAGUCUACAAAUAGAGGGAUACACACCAGAGGAAGCUGAGGGCCGCUGCAAGUCUUCGAGGUUGUCUAGGAGAUGGCUUAGGCUAGACCCAAGCCGCCGUGAUCGUCCCUGCACGGCGAAGCCAUGGUGGAGUUCUGGAGCCGAGCCUUGUGAUCAUCAAGGCUUAUGUACACACGAUGGUGAUAUCAAUAUAAUCUUGUGCGUACUUUGAUCUACUAUGAUGCAUGCUUAUUCUCAUAUGUAUAGCUAGCAUGUGUUCUUAGUAGGAAUAGAUGUAAUUGUGGUGAUUAGGCUAUAUCUUGCGGAUACAUCUUAGUACUACGUAGGAAGUCGGUGUGAUUACCUUCGUGUGGUGACAGCAUGCGGGAAAGGAAAGGUUGAACGAUUGCGUAAUGUUGAGUAGGAUCAAUGGCGAGUAUUGUGGGAGUCAUUUGAGGUAAAGCUUUGGGAAACUGAAGGUGUUAACACGCACCUCGUAAUGGUGACCACAAGAAAGUAAUGGUGACCACAAGAAAGUAGGCCGCUUGCGAGCCGCCUUUCUGAGAGAUGACUCUUUAUCAAGGUGCUACAUAGAUUGGUUACCAUUUUGGCUGGAACUAUAACAAGAAGAUAAUAGACUUAUGCUACAUUUGGUUGUGUUACCUCAUAUAUGGAUAUGAUCUGUUUACCCUAUAUAUAUUACUUAUCUCAUGAUUGGGUUUACCUUUAUAUGCAAUUCAUGCUUCAUGAUAGGAUUAGAUCUAUUUAGCUAGAUAGAGAACCCUAGUCAGUUCGCUGCUGAUCCACGGAUUGAUGAAUCUUGGAUGCAAUACUCUAAUGGAAAAGCUACGAUGAUCCGUGUGCUUGCGGUUCACAACUUGGCAUGUUAACUACAUCAACAGAGGCACAUGGAAAUAGGAGGAAUAUGCAGCGAAUUGAGGGCUAAUUUGUGUGGUCUGAUGAGUGUGCAAAAGAAAGUUUGUUUCAAUCUCCUCUUGUCUCUCCCUAUGAAACUCAUCUAUCUUCUCUUGCAGAGACAUUGGAAUGGGCAUUCUUCGUAAUAUGUAACUGUCACUAGGAAGAUUCGAUUCUUUCUUCUCCUUCUGUAAUAGAUGUACCUGGAUAGAGGAUCCACUCAUAUACUUAGUGCUUACUCUUGAUGUCUUAAAGCAAAACUAAACUAAUAGUUGGUUGAUUUUGACAAAUCAUUAUAUCUCUAUUCUCCACAUCAUAGAAUAGGAUAAAACAUUGCAAGCCAACAUAAAACAAAGAACAAGAUAAAAGAUAUGAUGGAACAAUCACCUAUAGAAAGUACUUGAGACAAUAGUUAGAGAAUGUACCUUAAACGAUUACUACUAUGAAAGCACUAAAUAAUCAGAAAUAUUGGUGAUAGAUGAUAAUGGGUACUAUAUGUAUUGGUUUAUAUAGGAAACCAAGGGGCUCAAAAGUUAUAAGGGAACCUACGUUAACGUUCAAAACAAAUUAUAGAAAAUGAAAAAAAGAAAGACCUUGAUGAUUGUUUAUUUAUUACUUGUCGGUUUCUUCCUGCCCUUUUUAGCCGUGCAUGCAUCUUUUCCACCGUUGUAUUGAGGUGCAUUAGGGGCCUCAUCUUUUUGAACCAUACAUUCUGUAUAUUUUAUGACAAAAACGUUGGAAGUAACCCAAUGUUAUCACGCGUUCAUGUAUGAGCAUACACUUGAUGCUAUCCAUGCACCUUUGCUUUUAUAUCCUAUUAGUGUGUUUGUCAUUUACCAUUUUUUAUUCUUAUCUAUAAAAGGUGCUUGGAUAAAGAUGGAUGGAGUGUCAAACAACUUUGUGGUUCUUAUGGAUGUUACUUGUGUCCUUCCAUAUGACAACUAAGACAAAGUUGGUGUACAAGCCAUGUGUAUGUUUCAUGUGGUCCUACGUGAAGCCAACUUUCGUGCAAGCUAUAAACACUUUCAAAACUACCUUUAGUUGAUUUUUCAUUGCUAGAGUGGGUGUCCAUUUGUGGUGUAAAGGUAUAUCUCUGAUUCAUUGCUUCAUCAUUUUAUCCUUUCCUAGGACUUGUACCUUCUACUUUGUAUACUUGAUUUUUCAUUGUAAUGUUCCUUGACUUGAUAAACAAUGACAUGGCUGGAUAAAUAUGUGGAUCUUAGUUUGUACUUAGGUGGUUGCUAACCAUGGUUUCUAUGUAGAGGCCUAAUCCAUCUUAGUUUGUACUUAGGUGGUUUGCUAAUCAUGGUUUCUAUACUCCUGAUGCUGGUUGUCAGGGCCGUACCUAGUAAUUGGAGGCCCCGGUAUGAAUUAUUUUGAAGACAUGAUGAUUAGACAAAACAAACAAAUGAAACACCUCCGUGCUCAUACGGGGUUUUGACUUAGCUAGAGAAGAACUAAACCUUGUGUGAUUAUUGGGGCUUGCAUUCUGCUGUUAGUUAAGCAAGACAAUUAGUACUAAUGUCAGAUUUGGAGGCCUCUAAUUUUUGGAUGCCCUGAACAGUCGCACACCUUGCUCCUGUCACUGUACGGCCCUGCUGGUUGUUUAUGUUGUGGAGACUCAUUCACGCAAGAUAGGCAUAAACAUACACACUUUUCGUGACCACCUAUACUUUGUGAAUUAGAGACAACAAAUUAUAAUUUGGCAUAUCCCUAAAAGGUAACACCGAAAGUACAUGACUUCUCCUUUAUGCCAAAAAAAGAUUUAAGGAAACGGUAAAGGCAUGCAUCCCUACAAAAUAGAACUGUUAAAGGCAAUGAUGCUUGCAAGUUUUCCUAACAAUAAGUACGUAUGUGCAAUCUAAGGGAUAAAUAUCCCCGAAAGGUGAUGCUGAAAGUACAUGACUUUUCCUUUUAAGCUAUGACACAAAAGAUUUCGGGAAAAGGUAAAGGCAAGCAUCCCUACAAAAUUCAACUGUCAAAGACAAUCAUGCUUGCAAGUUUCCCUAACAAUAAAUUCUUAUAUGUGCAAUCUAAGGAAAAAGAAGACAGUGAUCAAGGUAUAAAAAAAAAAAGAAUAGGCUGACCCCAAAUUUAUUCUUUUUUCCCCACACAGUAACAUCCAAUGAACUAGUCAUUGUGCCCAAUAGUCUUAUGGGCCGGUCUGGGCUUGCAUUCUUUUGGUGGAGGUAUUGAUUCAUGGGAUGUCCUAAUAAAUUCGUCAUUAAUGCUAUAAAUAAGUUAUGCUCAUGUCCGAUUGUGUAAUUCUAAAUUUGAUUCAAUUUUAACUAAUGAAUAAAUAAGUUAUGUACACAAUUAAAAAUCAACAGACUGGUCACGAUUAUCGACUUUUAUUGACAAAAAUAAGAAUUAUUGAUUAGAAGAAAAAUCACAUGUCCAUCUACUUUGCAUAAUACGUAACAUUUGGACUGUCGGUGCACCAAUUUACCAAGUUAUUGCACUAAAUUGAGCAUGUUACAAAUUGUUCCUGUCAAGUUAUUAUACCAAAUUGAGCAUUUUACAAGUUAUUGGACCAAUUUUGCACCCACCUGAUCAUUAUUGUACUAAAUUGAGCAUUUUACAAGGUGUUGGAUCAAUAUGCACCCACCAUUAAGUAUUUUACGAGUUGUUGGAUCAAUUUGCACCCACUUUACAAGUUAUUAUAUGGUGAGUACAAUUUACUCUUUUUAUAAAUAUUUUUAAUCUGACUUUAAAUAGUUUGCCUAAGACAAAUCUAAAUCUAAAUGGACUUUGAGCAUGGUUGUGUUUGGUUGCCUGCAUUGGGUCUUAUACGGGUUUAUGCAAUGCAGGCUCCCUGUGAUUGGCCCCCGUAAACUCUACCUCCACCUAGUGCAAAGUUAUCAUAUUACCGUACGCAGCCAACCAAAGUCAAACACCAGCACACUGCUUAAUCGCUUGUGCUUAGGCCAAGCAACCAAACACACCCUACGUGGGCUGCAACUAGGGUCAAAACAAAUUCAGGAAUCGACAUGAGUUUGUUUUGGCACCUAAGCCUCAUUGUCAGCAUUAGUAAGCUGCCACAAAAAUGUAAACAGUUUGACCCAAUAAGAACAGACAUUGAAACAAAAGUAAAUUCUAAGUGAUAGCACGGAAUUCAGGUAACAUUAACACCCCAACCUCAAAACAGUUACAGUAGACCAUCAUUCAGUCGCUAGUUAAGCACCAACAAAACCUUGGUGGCCAAGUGACGAAACAAACCAAACACGAAGCCCUCAAGAGUAUCACCUAAAGCACAAGUGAGGAGACAUCCGGAAGGGCAUUCUGCACUUCCUUCCGCAUCACCAGAA